Molecule: long non-coding RNA, 46842 nt
Filed under: Solanum tuberosum (potato)
Lineage: Eukaryota; Viridiplantae; Streptophyta; Magnoliopsida; Solanales; Solanaceae
Description: long non-coding RNA (STUB_LNC005037)
Source: RNAcentral
UUGCUCGACUGCAUUAUCCUCGCCCUGUGUCUUGUUUCCUCUCUUUAUUGGAGCUAGGCUCUCCUUGUAAUUGAAAACCCAACAGCCAGCAAUGUUAAGGUCCAGCUGAAAUCCAAGAUCUGUAACUUGUCUUGUUGUAGGGUCAUAUAGCACCAGCUGUGAAGUUUCUGUGAUCUCAAAAACCAUGUUAUCGUUAUCCCAGAUGUUGCGAGGCCAAUGAGCAUCUAUAUGAGGUUGUACAGUUAGAACUUUGGACCAAAUUCCCUCUUGUUCAUACCCACACAUCAUAUAUGGAUGUCAUAGGUUUGCCAGGGUCACCGGUUAAUAAAGCAAGUGAGUUGCCACGCAAUGUAAGCGUCCCCCAAUGUUCACUUGGAAUAUCUGGGACUUGCAUCUCCCUAAACUGUUCGCUGCCCAUGUCAAAAGAGCGAAUCGUGUAGAUCUCAUCAAGGCCCCUAGAAAGCCAAUAAUAAACCCCGUUGAGAUAAGUGGCAUCAAGGGGUGCAGAUAAGGUAGAACUGGAAGGGAAUUCAGGAGUUAGGUGUUUCCAUGAGUUGUUGCAUGAGGAAUAAACACAGGCAUAGACACGAGGACAAACACCUUGUCCCGGUUCAUCCCAGAAUACUCGAAUCCAUACAACCUUAUAAUCUUGAGUCAACAGGUCAAAUCCCAAUCCGAACUGAUGAUCAUGGUCCGAGAAAAAGUACUCAAUCUCAAAAGGCGCAGGCGGCAGAGACCUGAACUCUCUGGUGGCAGGAUUCCACAAACCCAAGCAGACAUUGUCUCCAUAAAACUUCUUCUGCACUAAGAAUAAGCCAUCAACUGGACCAGCAACACACGUGAAAUCAGCGACCCUCGGAAGCUGAAGGAGAGUUUUUUGUUCAGGGGUCACACCUGGAACAAUUUCUUCAGGGAGCAAGGAGAAUACAACAGACCUUACGAUGGCGUCUACUUCACGUGCUACUUUCAAGUUGCAAACAAGGAGACGGGCACGAUUGUUCUUGUGAUGAAAAUGUUUUUCUAUGAAACUCGGACUUUUGAUGAGAGCAUACCAGUGCUUGCACACACAUUUGAAAAGCAAGAGUGAUUCCACUGGCAAUCUCAAUAGAAUAUCAACUACUAGAUCUUCUGGUAAAGGACAGCGACCAUCCAUACUGGUGGAAAUAUAAGUAGAAUGAGGCAACUUACAAACAUAUUGAAAGAGAGCAGAUCUAGAAAACAUGCAUUAAUAGAACACACAGUGCAACAAAAAAGAUCAAGUAGUAGCAUUACCAUGUGAAGCAAAAAAGGGGAAGUUACAAAUUUGACCACUCAGCCACAAAUAUUUACAUCCGCAAGCCAUUACACAUAUAUUAUGGGUAUACAUAUUUUUAAAAAUAUUUUGACAAAUCUUCUUGUAGAUCAAUUUUGGAGAAAAGAUCCAAAAUAGUUCCUUAUGUUUGGCUUCAGACUCAAGGUCAUCCCUUCCCUUUCUUUUAUAUGGUGCACUAAUAGUCCUUUAAGUUUCAAGUAUUAGUGCACUUUUAAUCUCUUCAUUAACAUCCAUUUACUCAUUAACGUUUUGAUCCUUUACACAUCCAUUUAUGGCCUCCGCUGUAUACGUUCUGGUAUAACACAAAUUAAUUCUUAGAUUUAUCUUAGCAGUUGCAGAUGAGUCUUCAUUUGUACUUGUUUUAUUUUUUGGCUCUGCAUCUUUCAUUGUUUGGUGUGCACCAUUCAAGAUUUGCUAAUUCUUUAACUUUCUCCUCUAUUUUCCAUACGCAAUUAAUAAGCUGACUAUAAGUCUUUGGGUUUUCCUGAAUAAAAGCUGACUAUAUAUCUGAAACAUAACCAAAGAAUAAAAUAAAAACAAGAAAAAAGGAAAAAUAUAAUACAUACUUAGUCUUCGUGUAUCAAUAUCUCAAAUUAGCAUCGGAUAAAAGUGCACUAAUACUUAAAACUUUGGAGGACUAUUAGUGCACCAAUUGAUGAUUUCGAAUCUAAAGCCAAAAAUAAAGGACUAUCUUGUAUUUUUUCUUUCGAUUUGGGCUGAUAUGGUUUGGACGGAUCAAUAAUCAGCCAAAUAGAGUCAAUAAGAGGAGACUAGUAAAGAAGUAGUCAUGCGGUUUUCUAGUCUUUUCAUUAACUAGUCAAUAAUUAUUUUUAAAGCUACAUAUCAAGUUAGCAUAUAGAGCAAUUUUGCAGGUAAUUUAAGGAUUAAGGAGCAUGAAACAGUAAUUACCCUUUUCUACUAAUAUCAAUCUACAAAUCCUUGGAAAUGGAACAAUUUUAACUUGCCCAAUAUUGAAAUGUAAAAGAUGGAAAGAAAUAAAAAGAAUUAGCAUAAACAGAAACAAUGACAGCAAAACCCUAUAUCCAUCCCCAAAUAGCACAAAUUCAGAUUCAGAUUCAGAUUCAAAUUCAAAAAAAUAAUCAGAAAUCUAACCUUAUAAGCUGAUGAAGAAGAAGUGCCGCAAUUACGACAAGGUAAAAAUGGAAAAAGAGAUUGGAUUGAUUGAGUGGUGUUGUAGAAAUACCUCCAACAGUUGACUACUUCCUCACUUUCCUACACUUCUUUUGUCAUUUUAGUUUAUAUAACUCCCCUUAAUUCCUUUUAUCCAAGUUUUUAAUACCAAGGGAUAUGAUGGAGUAAUAAGUACUUAUUCAUUGUUAAUUAGAGGUCUUGGAUUUGAAUCUUUUGGCUAUGAAGUCAUCCGUGUUAGGGAGCACUUUACCCAUAAUGUGAGAUUUUUCGACUGGGCUCUAAUAUGGAUACCGAACAUUGAGCGAUUUUUCUUUUUUUACCUUAGUGGUCAUUUGGUAGGUGGAUAAAGCUACAUCUAAUACAUGAAUCACUACAAGAAAAGUGCUGAUUACCUGGGAAUUAUUGUAGAGAAUAUAUGAUAACCCUAAUGGGUGGAGGGAGGACCAAUUUAUAGAGGUUAUGAUUUAAUCUGGUAUAUCCAUCAAGUAACCAAUGUACGGACGAGAUCUAUUCCUUAUUAAAUAUUAUUUAUGGUAUUACUUGCGUUACUAGUAAACUUGAGCCAUAAGUAAGAAAUAAUUAAUAAUAAUUAAUAAUAAUUCUUACACUUCGGGGUGCCUUCGCCAUAGUUCAAGUCUGGAGUCGGCCAUUUCAGUUCUUGAAAGCUUUUAAUCUAGCUAGUGUUAUUCAUAGUACUUCCGUGUACUUAUCGACCUUAUGUGAGUCCAAACUCGUUUGAGUUAUACAUUUACUUUCUAAUUGUGCACGAGUAUACAUACUUUCUAGGCUUAUAGAGGUCCAGUUAGGUUAUAGAUUAUUGCUUUACUUUACUACUUCGUUCUUUUCAGACUCGUGAGCUAUAUAGUUAGACUUUCCGUUAUUGCUUUGUUCAUUUGACCUCUAAUUACUGUUACUUUCAUAUUCUUCAUAUUGUUUUUACUUUCCAAGUUCAGUUGACCUAUGAUGCCUACUGGACACCUGUUGUUCUGAUAUUCAUGCUACACUCCACAUCUGUUUUCUUGAUGUGGAUUUGAGCGCCAGCCGACAACGGUGAUUGGAGCCUAAGUAAUGCGGAGAUCUUCUGAGAUGAAUGGUGAGCUAAUGGCGUCCUAGUUCGACUUAUCUCCAUAUGUAUAUAAUUUUUUACAUGUCUUUUGUAUUCGAGACAAAUUUAUUAAGUUAGUCAAUAGCAUAGGCUCGAAACUAUGACUAGAACAUUGAGUGCAUGACAUGCACAUCUUACUCCUUACUUUCCUUAUUCGUGCCUGUUUUUUUCAUACUUUCUAACUUUCACUAGUACAUUAUCCCUUGUUAAGGAAAAUUAUGUAAACAAAAUAGUAAAUGGCCUGAUCCACUUAAGAGUGAGGGCUAGUUCAUUGAUUGAUACAGCUAAAUCACAUUAAAUAAUAAAUACGGAGGAGGGCCUAAAAUACCCUUCAAGUAUAGGUAAUGGAACAAAAAUACCCUCUUCCACCUUUAGGCUCCAAAAUACCCUUCCAUCCAUCUAUAUGGACCUAUAUUACCCUUUCACUUAACAGAUUCUUUAAGACUAAUAAUUAAUCUUUUCAUUAAUGAUGUGACAGUCUUUAAUUGGUUGAAAUUGGAAUUAACCAAAAUAAGAAUUUCUCUUAAUUAAACCCAGAUCCAACUAAAUUCCACCCGACUCACUUAAAAUUCUAUUGACCCAUAUCUUAAAUAAUCAAACUUCAAUCAACAACUUGCUCCAGUUAUUUUUAAUCCCAGUCAAAAAAGAGGUACAUUAGACCAUAAACAACAUGAAACUUCCGAAAAUUCCCUGGAAACAUUCCAAGAAGGAAGAAGUGAAAUACAAGAUCAAGUGCCACUAUAAUCAUAUACCAAUAUACACCAUAUUUUGAAACACUAUGAAAAGUCCAGCAAAUCUCCAAUCUCUGGGAAACAUAAACUCAAAGCGGUAAAAUUUCUCAAAAUCCGAAACCCUAGAGUUCAAAAAUUAUUUCACUUCUUUCUUUUUUGCGAUUCAUAUAAAGCACCGCACGCAAAAAGCAAAACCAACAUAAUUUUGGGAAAUUCUCAAAGCAGAAUCAUGGAAUAGAAUAUAAAAAAAAAAUAAAAAAUUUAGCCAUAGCAAGAGAUUAUAUACUUGAUGAAGAAAAGCGAUAGAUAUCGCUUUUCUUCAUCUGCAAAUUUUACGAGAAAAUUAUAUGGAGAGAAAUUCAGUGUACAGAGAAAAAAAAGGAAACUCACCGCUACACACUCGAUUCUUCUUGUUUUUUUUUAAAGAUAUGGGUCAGUAAAAUUUUACGUGGGUUGGGUAGAGUUUAGUUGGAUCCGGGUUUGAUUUGGAGAAAUUAUUGUUUUUGCUUAAUCUAAAUUCCAGCCAAUUAAAGAUUGUCACAUCAUUAAUGAAAAGAUUAAUUAUUACUCAUAAAAAAUCUGUUAAGUGAAAGGGUAAUAUAGGUCCAUAUAGAUGGAUGAAAGGGUAUUUUUGAGCCCAAAGGUGGAUGGAGGGUAUUUUUGUUCCAUUCCCUAUACUUGAAGGGUAUGUUAGGCCCUUCUCCGUAAUAUAUAUUACAUUUUUGAACUGUUAAACUAGAAACAAGAUUUAGGAUUUUUCAAGUGGACCAAAAUACAGAUAUUGAUGCCGAGUACUUAAAGUCUGUUGCUUGCCGAUACUCUAAAAGUAGUAGUGUAUUUUUGGAGAAUCUAACAUGAGUGGAGAGUACACGCGCAACUUAGCUUAAAUUGUGUUGGUCCAAAAGGAAUGCCCCUUGAUACCAUAAACAAAAAAUACCAUGUCAGCUUUUUAUUCAAUAAUAGUACAAAGAUGACUGAUCCAAACAAUUUUAAGCUCAAACACAAUGUUAUAAGAAGACAAGAUACGAACUAAUGUCACAAUAUUACAGGUAAAUCGUUUUUUUUUCUUCCUGUUUUUCAAUUAUUAUCAUUAUAGUAUUUUGUAUUCCAAAUCUUAACGAUACUCAUCCAUUGGUAUGGUAUAGAAGAAGUGUUCAAUUUGCUCGACCUCGCCCUGUGUCUCGUUUCCUCUCUUUAUUGGAGCUAGGCUCUCCUUGUAAUUGAAAACCCAACAGCCAGCAAUGUUAAGGUCCAGGUGAAAUCCAAGAUCUGUAACUUGUCUUGUUUUAGGGUCAUAUCGCACCAGCUGUGAAGUUUCUGUGAUCUCGAAAACCAUCUUAUCAUUAUCCAAGAUGUUGCGAGGCCAAUGAGCAUCUAUAUGAGGUUGUACAGUUAGAACUUUGGACCAAUUUCUGUCUUGUUUCAUUACCCACACAUCGUAUAUGGAUGUCAUUGGUUUACCAGGGUCUCCGGUUAACAUAGCAAGUGAGCCGCCAUGCAAUGUAAGUGUCCCCCAAUGUUCACUUGGAAUAUCUGGGACUUGCAUCUCCCCAAACUGUUCGCUGCCCAUGUCAAAAGAGCGAAUCGUGUAGAUCUCAUCAAGGCCCCUACAAAGCCAAUAAUAAACCCCGUUGAGAUAAGUGGCGUCAAGGGGUGCAGAUAAGGUAGAACUGGGAGGGAAUUCAGGAGUAAGGUAUUUCCAUGAAUUGUUGCAUGAGGAAUAGACACAGGCAUAGACACGAUUAUUAGCACCUUGUCCCAGUUCAUCCCAGAACACUCGAAUCCAUACAACCUUAUAAUCUAGAGUCAACAGGUCAAAUCCCAAUCCGAACUGAUGAUCAUGGUCCGAGAAAAAGUACUCAAUCACAAAAGGCGCAGGAGGCAGAGACCUGAACUCUCUGGUGGCAGGAUUCCACAAACCCAAGCAGACAUUGUAUCCAUAAAACUUCUUCUGCACUAAGAAUAAGCCAUUAACUGGACCAGCAACACACGUGAAAUCAGUGAUCCGAAGCUGAAGGAGAGUUUUUUGUUCAGGGGUCACACCUGGAACAAUUUCUUCAGGGAGCAAGGAGAAUACAACAGACCUUACGAUGGGGUGUACACGUGCUACUUUCAAGAUGCAAACAAGGAGGCGGGCACAAUUAUUCUUGUGAUGAAAAUGUUUUUCUAUGAAACUCGGACUUUUGAUGAGAGCAUACCAGUGCUUGCACACACAUUUGAAACGCAAGAGUGAUUCCACUGGCAAUCUCAAUAGAAUAUCAACUACUAGAUCUUCUGGUAAAGGACGGCGACCAUCCAUACUGGUGGAAAUAUAAGUAGAAUGAGGCAACUUACAAACAUAUUGAAAUAGAAUAGAUCUAGAAAACAUGCAUUAAUAGAACACACAGUGCAACGAAGAAGAUCAAGCAGCAGCAUUACCAAUGUGAAGCAAAAAAGGGGAAGUUACACAUUUGACCACUCGGCCACAAAUAUUUAUAUCCGCAAGCCAAUACACAUAUUAUGGGUAAACAUAUUUUUAAAAAUAUUUUGACAAAAUUUCUUGUAGAUCAAUUUGGGAGAAAAGAUCCAAAAUAGUUCUUUAUGUUUGGCUUCAGACUCAAAGUCAUCCCUUCCCUUUCUUUUAUAUGGUGCACUAAUAGUCCUUUAAGUUUCAAGUGUUAGUGCACUUCUAGUCUCUUGAUUAACAUCCAUUUACUCAUUAACGUUUUGAUCCUUUACACAUCCAUUUAUGGCCUCCGCUGUAUACAUUCUGGUACAAAACAAAUUAAUUCUUAGAUUUAUCUUAGCAAUUGCAGAUGAGUCUUCAUUUGUACUUCGUUUUAUAUUUUGGCUCUGCAUCUUUCAUUGUUUGGUGUGCAGUAUUCAAGAUUUGCUAAUUCUUUAACUUUCUCCUUUAUUUUCGAUACACAAUUAAUAAGCUGACUAAGUCUUUGGGUUUUUCCUGAAUAAAAGUUUCUUGCGCUUUGCCUAUAUAUCUGGAGCAUAACCAAAGAAUAAAUAAAAACAAGAAAAAAGGAAAAAUAUAAUACAUACUUAGUCUUCGUGUAUCAAUAUCUCAAAUUAGCAUCGGAUAAAGGGUGUGUUCCGUAGAAAAUAGUUUCUAAUCAAAAUUUUUGGAAAAGAUUUUCUUAGGAAAACAAGUUCCAUACGUGACACUUCAAAAUUCAAAUGAAGAAAAUGACUUUCUAAAGGAAGUAGGGAAAACAAGUUUCAUAUGUGACAUUUCAAUUGAGUAUGUCCUCCCACUCUCUAAGACACCACAUAUUCACCUCACUCCCGUAGCUUCCAUACCCACUACCCUACACAUCUACCCCACCUCCGUCCCUCAUAGUAUUGUCUAGAUAAUACAUAAAUGCUUUUAGAAUAAUAUUAAAUUUUUUUUGCUUAUAUACCAAACACAAAAUAUACAUAAGAAUCUCACUUAUUUUCCUAGAAAAUAUUUUUCAAAAAAUAUUUUCCUUGGUACCGUACACACCCAAAGUUCCAAUGUCCUCGGAUAAUAUCAGCCAAAUAGAGUCAAUAAGAGGAGACUAGUAAAGAAGUAGUCAUGUGGUUUUCUAGUCUUUUCAUUAACUAGUCAAUAAUUAUUUUUGAGCUACAAAUCAAAUUAGCAUAUAGAGCAAUUUUGCAGGUAAUUUAAGGAGCAUGAAACAGUAAAUACCCUUUUCUGCUAAUAUCAAUCUACAAAUCCUUGGAAAUGGAACAAUUUUAACUUACCCAAUAUUGAAAUGUAAAAGAUGGAAAGAAGUAAAAAGAAUUAGCAUAAACAGAAACAAUGGCAGCAAAACCCUAUAUCCAUCCCCAAACAGCACAAAUUCAGAUUCAGAUUCAAAUUCAAAAUAAUAAUCAGAAAUCUAACCUUAUAAGCUGAUGAAGAAGAAGUGGCGGACAAGGAAAAAAUGGAAAAAGAGAUAUCGGAUCGAUUGAUUGGUGUUGUAGAAAUACCUCAACAGUUGACUACUUCCUCACACUUCUUUCGUCAUUUUAUUUUACUACUUCUUGGGAACGCGUUUGUUCCUCUCCUUUUUUUUUCUCGCGUGUGUUCCUUAUUAUUAUUAAAUUUUUAUAUACUAAAAAGUUGAGUUAUAAAAUAGAAAAUGCUGAAAUUAACAAUAGUAGUUUUAUCAUUUAUAUUUUAUUUACUAAAUAAUAAAAAAUAUAUACUGGAGCAUUUUUUGUUAACCUUCAUUUGUUGUUUCUCACUCUCUUUUCUUCUCAUGUUGAAAUUUGAUUGUGCAAUUACCUUCCUAUGAUAACAUCAAUCUUUGUGAAAUUGGUUCUUAAAAAGCAAAUUCAAAUUUUAAUUUUGGAAGUGUUUUUACAUAAUAGUGGAGAAUGAUUCUUCAUAUUCAACUUUUAAUUUUGAAUUGUAAUGAACAAUUACUAUUCAAAUACAAAUCUAGUUUAUUUUUAACCUUACAUUUAUUGAAUCUUUAAUGUGUACGUUAAUGAUAUAUAAUAAUUUAUUAAUUAGGUAUUUGAUUUAGUGUAGGGGCAAAAUGGUAAUUCAACUAUACACUUUCGAGUUUUCACUUUUAAUAAGUAAUUAUAAUAUAUACAAAAGAUUAAACCAUUUGAUAUUAAAAAAAUAUAUGUAUGAGUAAUAAUUAACAUUCAAUGGCAAAAGAAUGUAUCACAUUCUCAUAAACAAUAUCUCUAAGGCAAAAGUAGACAUUCUAAUUUGGACAAUUACUACUUAACUACUUAUGGGUUCAGCCAAUAAUCUGGAGAUAGGAGUUUGACAAUUUUUCAGCCAUAGUUAAAAUUCUACAUCAAUAAUAAAUAGCUUCUUAUCACAGUAAAUAGACAUUUGAAUAAUUAAUAUAAAUUGAGCAACACAAACUUUUCAAAAUGACUUAUUCUAGAUAUAUAAUAGGGAAAAGGGUCAAAAUUACCCCUCAGUUUUGUUUUAUUGGUUAACUUUAUCCUUACCAUUAAAAACAAGUUAUUUUUACCCCUGUCGUCAAUAAACUUAACAAAUAUACCCCUCCUUGAACGGAAACCCCCAAAUCAAUUGAAAUUACCCGAUUUUAAUUGAAAUUAUCCAAUUUCUUUUUUAACCCGAACUAGAACCCAACCCACUAAACUAAACAAAUUAACCCAUUUCCAAUCUUCUUCAUCUCAGUGUUCUUGGCUAAGUACCCUAAGAACACUCACAAUCUUUAUCAUAGCUAACACAUAAAUCCUACAUUGUCUGACAAAAUCAAUUGAAAAGGUUCGUUGGUUGAAUGUAUAACAAGUAAAUUAUUUUUGCUGAACAACAUCCCGCCUCUCUCUGUUGUGGGGUUCAGCGAAGAACAAGCCACAGAGCAAGUAAAUGGAAAAGUUUCAAUUUACACAUCAUCAUUCAAUCCAAUGAAGAAAACCAUUUCUAGGUACCAACCAAAUUACUUUUUGAUUUGUUGUCAGUAGGCUGCCCCUAAAUGUGUACCCAAUAGUACAUCUAAUUCUUCUUUACCUGGCUCGUAAAUCAAUUCAGUGGCCCUCCAUGAUUCUUGUAUGUGCACGUAAAAUUAAGCUACAAUGGAGGGGAGGUUUUUCUUUUCUCUAUCUUUUUAUUUGUUCAAAAUGUUUCCAAUAUAUCAUCAUAUUUGAUGAGUACUGGAUAUUUGAUGAUUACUGAUUUCUUGUAUGUAGCAAAUCAUGUGAUUGAACGACUGCAGUGUUUAGCCUAGGCAACCUUCAACAAACAAUUUGGAGAUAAAUAUCAGGUCUUUUCGAUUGAUUUUGUUAGACAAUGUAGAAUUUGUGUUAGCUAUGAUAAAGAUUGUGAGUGUUCUUAGGGUACUUAGCCAUGAACACUGAGAUGAAGAAGAUUGGAAAUGGGUUUAUUUGUUUAGUUUAGUGGGUUGGGUUCUGGUUCAGGUUAAAAAAGAAAUUGGAUAAUUUCAAUUAAAAUUGAAUAAUUUCAAUUGAUUUGGGGAUUUCCGUCCAAGGAGGGAUAUAUUUGUUAAGUUUAUUGACGGCAGGGGUAAAAAUAACUUGCUUUUAACGGUAAGAGUAAAAUCAACCAAUAAAAUAAAGUUGAUGGGUAAUUUUGACCCUUUUCUCUAUAUAACAUAUAUGGACAAUUUGAGGAAUGAAUGUUUCAACACAUGAAUAAUAGACUAAUAAGGUCAAUAGAUUAUACAUAUAAAUGAAAAGUUAAAUAAAAAUACAGCCUCAAAAUCACAUACUAUGAUCCAUCAUUUAUCUCCAAUUCGGUGGCCCAGUUUAUUUUAGGGUAUGGAUUCUUUUAUUUUUAAAAAAAAAACAUAUUUGAUUUUUCUCAUUUAGUUAUUCCUCUCCCUACUCAUAAAUAAUAAUCUCGAAAAAAUAUUUUUACUAAAGUAGAACACUCUAUCAAGAGCCAAAUAAACAUAUCAAAUUAACUAAUUAAUCUUUCAUCAAUUAUUGAUAGAACAUGAAUUGUAUAUCACUACUUUCUUCAUGUAGGAUACAAGAUAUUUCAAUAGAAAAACAAAAUCAUAAGAAAGCAUAUCAAAAUAUAAAAAAAGGACAUAUAAAAUACUUUGGCUGGACAAGGAGGAGCGGAUAAAAACAAAAGGAAAUUACUGCACAUACAAAAUGAUGAGCAAGAUUAGUUUUUUGCAGGAUAGUCUCUCAUCCUCCUCUUAUCAUUUACAUGAAAACCAUGCUAGGCAUUUUAUAGCAAUAGCUAGGAUGACCUUUGAGUAGAUAAUUAAUUUGCAUUAAUUUAGUUUAAUGAUUUUAGUCCAUAUCAAAUUUAUUUAAUGGAAAACUCUUCAAAUACUCUUGAUUUUACAGAAAAAGAGAAAUUGACUAUUAAUGUGAAUUUGAUUCAUGUACCAAUUUAAAUGAGUUUAAUCUAAGGAAGUGAAAAAAUCAUUAACAUUUUUAUUAAAACGAUACAAUUUAAUAUUUAAAUUAAAUAGUUAAAUAUUUUAUAACAUUUUAAUUUAUAAUAGGGGUAAAACGGUAAUUCAACUUUUAACUUUUUUUAUUCCCGCUUAUAGUAAUAUAUGAUACAACUCCUCUUAAUUCCUUUUAUCUAAGUUUUUAAUUAUGUGGUGGAGUAAUAAGUACUUAUUCAUUCUUAAUUAGAGGUUCCAGUUUGAGUCUUUUUGGCUAUAAAAUCAUCUCUGUUAGAGCGCUUUACCCAUAAUCUAAGAUUUUUCGACACAAAUUCAAAUUUAGUGAGGCUCUAAUAUGGAUAUCGAACACUGAGGGGAAAAUAAAAAUAAAAAUUACCUUAGGGGUUAUUUGGUAGGUGGAUAAAGCUACAUCUAAUACAUGAAUAACAAAGUUAUUUAUGUAUUUAAUUUAUAUAAUGUUUGUAUAAAAGUUAUUCAUAUAUUAACAAAGAUGUUUCUCUCUACGAUAUGUUCCCACAGGAGAAAGAGUUUGUUACUUGAAGAGGGGGGGGGGGGAUGUUGNNNNNNNNNNNNNNNNNNNNNNNNNNNNNNNNNNNNNNNNNNNNNNNNNNNNNNNNNNNNNNNNNNNNNNNNNNNNNNNNNNNNNNNNNNGAAGGGGGGGGGGGGGUAUUUGGAGUCUUUUAGCCACAGUUCGAAGCCCUGACAUAUCGAUCUCUUUUAGCCACGGUUCAAGGUCCCAACGUAUUUUGUUUUGCCACGGUUCAAGGUCCCGACGUAUUUUAUUUUGCCACGGUUCGAGGCCCCAUCAUAUCUCUAUUCGCCUUGGUUCGAAUCCUAACAUGUGGUUCAUUUGGGUUCUUCGGGGUGCCUUCACCAAAGUUCAAGUCUAGAGUCAGCCAUUUUAAGUUCUUGAAAGCUUUUAAUAUAACUAGUGUUAUUCAUAGUACUUCUGUGUACUUAUCAGGCUUAUGUGAGUCCAAACUCGUUUGAGUUAUUUACUUUCCAAUUGCGCACAGGUAUACAUACUUUCUGGGCUUAUAGGGGUCCAGUUAGGUUAUAGAUAAUUGUUUUACUUUACUACUUUGUUCUUUCCAGACUCGUGAGCUAUAUAGUUAGACUUUCCGUUAUUACUUUGUUCAUUUGACCUCUAAUUACCGUUACAUUCAUAUUUUUCAUAUUGUUUUUACUUUCCAUGCCCAGUCGACCUAUGAUGCUACUGGGCACCUGUUGUUUUGAUAUUAUGCUACACUCCACAUCUGUUUUCUUGAUGUAGAUUUGAGCGCCAGCUGAUAAUGGUGAUUCGAGCCUAAGAAAUGCGGAGAUCUUCUGAGAUGAAGGGUGAGCUGAUGGCAUCCUAGUUCGACUUAUCUCCAUAUGUAUAUAGUUUUUUAAUGUCUUUUGUAUUCGAGACAAGUCUAUUAAGUUAGUGAAUAGCAUAGGCUCGAAACUAUGACUAGAACAUUGAGUGCAUGACAUGCACAUCUUACUCCUUAUUUUCCCUAUUCGUACCUGUUUUUUUCAUACUUUCUAACUUCACUGGUACAUUAUUCCUUGUUAAGGAAAAUUAUGUAAACAACUAGUUCUUUGAUUGAUACAACUAAUUCACAUUAAAUAAUAACUAGAAUCUUAUUACAUUUUUGAACUGUUAAACUAGAAACAAGAUUUAGGAUAAGGGAACUAUUUAUUAACUUCACUUCUCCUUAUUAGUGUCAAAAGUUUCUCGUUUAGGAAAUAUGAAGUUUUGAAGGACUAAUAGUAUAUUAUCCUUUUUUAAAAUUGAACUCUAUCCAAUGGUUGAUUCUAUUUAUGAAUCAAUUCCUUAGGUGCAUUAUUUCCAUAGGUUUCAACAUUGGUAACAAAAUCUAGCUUUCUCGCUUAAAUUGACAUAUUUCUAUACUUCCCUCAUCUUAUCUAUCACUGAGGCCGCUCCCAUCUUAUCCCUUAUAUCCUUAUUUAUAAUUUUUAUCGCUCCGAGUAUGAACGUGCAUCCACCUCAAUAUAUAUUCACAUCUCUGCAACAUGCAUCUUCUAGACAUGGGACUUGACUGGCCAACUCUCAUUUCCAUACAACAAUUACAUACACACUCUAUAUAAAUACACACAUACAUAUAUUGAUGGAAAAAUCAUCAACAGAUGAAACUUAAGCAAUACUCCCUCCAUCUCAAUUAAUGUGACAGUCGGAAUUUUGUCUUUUAAAUUGUUAAUUAUUGUGAUUUACCAUUUUUCACAUAAUUUUCAAAUACAUAAAUUUUAUAUCAAAAAAACUUAAAGUUUCUGUAUCCGAAUUUACUAUUAAAUUAUAGAAGUUUGAAUCUCAAAAUUUCAACUAAUGCCACAUAAAUUAAAUCAACUCCAACACUCAGAAAAGCUACAAAAGUUCAAACAUAGAAAGUAAAAAAAAAUUUAAAAAAGAAAUAGAAAAAACCUUGAGAUAAUAUGUCUUGCUAAUUUCCUCUUCAGAUGCUAAUUAAAGGACUUACACCAAGAACAUCAUAAUACUCUGUGUCUUUCACCAUUUUCUUUUCUUUUUCCAAAAUCCCUAUUAACAAAAAAUUUACUCUUUUACCUCCUCCAAUACUCUAAUUACCUUUUUUUUCGCGCUUCUAAAAUCUUAAUACAAGAGCGAAAAACCACUUGAGUGUAAGGAAAGGAAACAAGCCAAACGAAAAAAAAAAAAAAAACUCUCAAAAUUAUAUGAUCAAGAAAACUUGCAAGUACAAAAGGAGAAAGAGGAGGGGGUGGGUGGGGUAUGAUGAAAAGAAUGUCUCAGAAUAAGAGAGUGCCCCAACGAGACAAAGCUGCCUUUCCAGUUCUGAUCAACAAAUUAAUUACGGAAAAUCUGUUGCUUGUCGAUACUCUAAAAGCAGUGUAUUUUUGGAAUUAAGAGGAGUUGUAUAAACUAAAAUGACAAAAGAAGUGUAGGAAAGUGAGGAAGUAGUCAACUGUUGAGGUAUUUCAACAACACCACUCAAUCAAUCCAAUAUCUCUUUUUCCAUUUUUACCUUGUCGUAAUUGCGGCACUUCUUCUUCAUCAGCUUAUAAGGUUAGAUUUCUGAUUAUUUUUUUGAAUCUGAAUCUGAAUCUGAAUUUGUGCUAUUUGGGGAUGGAUAUAGGGUUUUGCUGCCAUUGUUUCUGUUUAUGCUAAUUUUUUUUAUUUCUUUCCAUCUUUUACAUUUCAAUAUUGGGUAAGUUAAAAUUGUUUCUUUUCCAAGGAUUUGUAUAUUGAUAUUAGUAGAAAAGGGUAAUUACUGUUUCAUGCUCCUUAAAUUACCUGCAAAAUUGUUCUAUAUGCUAACUUGAUAUGUAGCUCAAAAAUACCUAUUGACUAGUUAAUGAAAAGUCUAGAAAACCACAUGACUACUUCUUUACUAGUCUCCUCUUAUUGACUCUAUUUGGCUGAUUAUUGAUCCGUCCAACCCAUUUCAACCCAAAUCGAAAGAAAAAAUCCAAGAUAGUCCUUUAUUUUUGGCUUUAGAUUCGAAAUCAUCAAUUGAUGCACUAAUAGUCCUCCAAAGUUUUAAGUAUUAGUGCACUUUUAUCUGAUGCUAAUUUGAGAUAUUGAUACACGAAGACUAAGUAUGUAUUAUAUUUUUCCUUUUUUCUUGUUUUUAUUUUAUUCUUUGGUUAUGCUCCAGAUAUAUAGGCAAAGCACAAGAAACUUUUAUUCCGGAAAAACCCAAAGACUUAUAGUCAGCUUAUUAAUUGCUUAUGGAAAAUAGAAGAGAAAGUUAAAGAAUUAGCAAAUUUUGAAUGGUGCACACCAAACAUUGAAGAUGCAGAGCCAAAAAAUAAAACAAGUACAAAUGAAGACUCAUCUGCAAUUGCUAAGAUAAAUCUAACAAUUAAUAUGUUUUGUACCAGAACGUAGACAGUGGAGGUUAUAAAUGGGUGUGUAAAGGAUCAAAACGUUAAUGAGUAAAUGGAUGUUAAUGAAGAGACUAAAAAUGCACUGACACUUGAAACUUAAAGAACUAUUAGUGCACUAUAUAAAAGAAAGGGAAGGGAUGACUUUGAGUCUGAAGCCAAACAUAAGGAACUAUUUUGAAUCUUUUCCAAACAAUGUUAAGCUCAAACACAAUGUUAUAAAAAGGUAAGAUAAGAACUAAUGUCACAAUAUUACAGGUAAAUCGUUUUUUUUUCCUGUUUUUCAAUUUUUAUCACUAUAAUAUUCUGUAUGUCAAACUCUAAGAUCCUCAUCCAUUGGUAUGGUAUAGAAGUAGUGUUCAAUUUGCUCGACUGCAUUAUCCUCACCCUGAGUCUCGUUUCCUCUCUUUAUUGGAACUAGGCUCUCCUUGUAAUUGAAAACCCAACAGCCAGAAAAGAUAAGGUCCAGCUGAAAUCCAAGAUCUGUAACUUGUCUUGUUUCAGGGUUAUAUAGCACUAGCUGUGAAGUUUCUGUGAUCUCGAAAACCAUCUUAUCGUUAUCCCAGAUGUUGUAAGGCCAAUGAGCAUCUAUAUGAGGUUGAAGAGUAAGAACUUUGGACCAAUUUCCCCCUUGUUUCAUUACCCACACAUCGUAUAUGGAUGUCAUUGGUUUGCCAGGGUCACCGGUUAAUAUAGCAAGUGAGCCGCCAUGCAAUGUAAGCUUCCCCCAAUGUUCACUUGGAAUAUCUGGGACUUGCAUCUCCCCAAACUGUUCGCUGCCCAUGUCAAAAGAGUGAAUCGUGUAGAUGUCAUCAAGGCCCAUAGAAAGCCCAUAAUAAACCCCGUUGAGAUAAGUGGCGUCAAGGGGUGCAGAUAAGGUAGAACUGGGAGGGAAUUCAGGAGUAAGGUGUUUCCAUGAAUUGUUGCAUGAGGAAUAGACAUAGGCAUAGACACGAUUAUUAGCACCUUGUCCCGGUUCAUCCCAGAACACUCGAAUCCAUACAACCUUAAAAUCUUGAGUCAACAGGUCAAAUCCCAAUCCGAACUGAUGAUCAUGGUUCGGGAAAAAGGCCUCAAUCUCAAUAGGCGCAGGAGGCAGAGACCUGAACUCUCUAGUGGCAGGAUUCCACAAACCCAAGCAGAUAUCGUCUCCAAACUUCUUCUGCACUAAGAAUAAGCGAUCAACUGGACCAGCAAGACACGUGAAAUCAGUGAUCCUCGGAAGCUGAAGGAGAGUUUUUUGUUCAGGGGUCACACCUGGAACAAUUUCUUCAGGGAGCAAGGAGAAUACAACAGACCUUACGAUGGGGAGUACUUCACAUGCUACUUUCAAGUUGCAAACAAGGAGACGGGCACAAUUGUUCUUGUGAUGAAAAUGUUUUUCUAUGAAACUCGAACUUUUGAUGAGAGCAUACUAGUGCUUGCACACACAUUUGAAACACAAGAGUGAUUCCACUGGCAAUCUCAAUAGAAUAUCAACUACUAGAUCUUUUGGUAAAGGACGGCGACCAUCCAUACUAGUGGAAAUAUAAGUAAAAUGAGACAACUUACAAACAUAUUGAAAGAGAACAGAUCUAGAAACAUGCUUUAAUAGAACACGCAGUGCAACGAAGAAGAUCAAGCAGCAUCAUUACCAUGUGAAACAAAAAAGGGGAAGUUGCACAUUUGAUCACUCAGCCACAAAUAUUUACAUCAGCAAGCCAAUACACAUAUAUUAUGGGUAUACAUAUUUUUAAAAAUAUUUUGACAAUUUCUUGUAGAUCAAUUUGGGAGAAAAGAUCCAAAAUAGUUCCUCAUGUUUGGCUUCAGACUCAAAGGAUGGAGUAAUAAGUACUUAUUCAUUGUUAAUUAGAGUUCUCGGGUUUGAGUCUUUUUGGCUAUGAAGUCAUCUGUGUUAGGGAGCGCUUUACCCACAAUGUGAGAUUAUUCAGCACAAAUUCAAAUUUAGUGGGGGAUCUAAUAUGGAUACCAAACACCGAGUGGAAAACCAAAAAUAAAAAUAAAAAUGACCUUAGGGGUCAUUUGAUAGGUGGAUAAAGCUACAUUUAAUACAUGAAUAACAAAGUUAUUUAUGUAUUUAAUUUAUAUAAUAUUUUGUUUGUAAAAUGUUGUAUAAAAGUUAUUCGUGUAUUAACAAAGAUGUUUAUCUCUACGAUAUGUUCCCGCAGGAGAAAGAGUUUGUUAUUUGAAGAGGGGGGGGGGGUAUUUGGAGUCUUUUAGCCACAGUUCGAAGCCCUGGCGUAUCUCUUUUAGCCACGGUUCAAGGCCCCAACAUAUUUUUUUGGCACGGUUCGAGGCCCCAACAUAUCUCUAUUCGCCUUGGUUUGAAUCCUAACAUGUGGUUCAUUUGGGUUCUUCGGGUGCCUUCGCCAUAAUUCAAGUCUGGAGUCGGCCAUUUCAGUUCUUGAAAGCUUUUAAUCUAGCUAAUGUUAUUCAUAGUACUUCCGUGUACUUAUCGGACUUAUGUGAGUCCAAACUUGUUUGAGUUAUAUAUUUACUUUCUAAUUGUGCACGAGUAUACAUACUUUCUGGGCUUAUAGAGGUCCAAUUAGGUUAUAGAUUAUUGCUUUACUUUACUACUUUGUUCUUUUUAGACUCGUGAGCUAUAUAGUUAGACUUUCCGUUAUUGCUUUGUUCAUUUGACCUCUAAUUAUUGUUACUUUCAUAUUCUUCAUAUUGUUUUUACUUUCCAAGCUCAGUCGACCUAUGAUGCCUACUGGGCACCUGUUGUUCUGAUAUUCAUGCUACACUCCACAUCUGCUUUCUUGAUGUAGAUUUGAGCGCCUGCCGACAACAGUGAUUCGAGCCUAAGUAAUGCGGAGAUCUUCUGAGAUGAAGGGUGACCUAAUGGCGUCCUAGUUCGACUUAUCUCCAUAUGUAUAUAAUUUUUUCCUAUCUUUUGUAUUCGAGACAAGUUUAUUAAGUUAGUCAAUAGCAUAGGCUCGAAACUAUGACUAGAACAUUGAGUGCAUGACAUGCACAUCUUACUCCUUAUUUUCCUUAUUCGUACCUAUUUUUGUUCAUACUUUCUAAAUUUCACUAGUACAUUAUCCCUUGUUAAGGAAAAUUAUGUAUCCAGAAUAGUAAAUGGUCUGAUCCACUUAAGAGUGAAGGCUAGUUCAUUGAUUGAUACAUCUAAAUCACAUUAAAUAAUAUAUAUUACAUUUUUGAACUGUUAAACUAGAAACAAGAUUUAGGAUUUUUCAAGUGGACCAAAAUACAGAUAUUGAUGCAGAGUACUUAAAGUCUGUUGCUUGCCGAUACUCUAAAAGUAGUGUAUUUUUGGAGAAUCUAACAUGAGUGGAGAGUACAUGCGCAACUUAGCUUAAAAUGUGUUGGUCCAAAAGGAAUGCCCCUUGAUACCAUAAACAAAAAAUACCAUGUUUGCUUUUUAUUCAAUAAUAGUACAAAGAUGACUGAUCCAAACAAUUUUAAGCUCAAACACAAUGUUAUAAGGUAAGAAAAGAACUAAUGUCACAAUAUUACAGGUAAAUCGUUUUUUUUCUUCUUCCUGUUUUUCAAUUUUUAUCAGUAUAAUAUUAUGUAUUACAAAUCUUUAAGAUCCUCAUCCAUUGGUAUGGUAUAGAAGAAGUGUUCAAUUUGCUCGACUGCAUUAUCCUCACCCUGAGUCUCGUUUCCUCUCUUUAUUGGAGCUAGGCUCUCCUUGUAAUUGAAAACCCAACAGCCAGCCAUGUUAAGGUCCAGCUGAAAUCCAAGAUCUGUAACUUGUCUUGUUUUAGGGUCAUAUAGCACCAGCUGUGAAGUUUCUGUGAUCUCGAAAACCAUCUUAUCGUUAUCCCAGAUGUUGCGAGGCCAAUGAGCAUCUAUAUGAGGUUGUACAGUUAGAACUUUGGACCAAAUUCCCUCUUGUUUCAAUACCCACACAUCAUAUAUGGAUGUCAUAGGUUUGCCUGGGUCACCGGUUAAUAAAGCAAGUGAGUUGCCACGCAGUGUAAGCGUCCCCCAAUGUUCACUUGGAAUAGCUGGGACUUGCGUCUCCCCAAACUGCUCGCUGUCCAUGUCAAAAGUGCGAAUCGUGUAGAUCUCAUCAAGGCCCGUACAAAGCCAAUAAUAAACACCGUUGAGAUAAGUGGCGUCAAGGGGUGCAGAUAAGGUAGAACUGGAAGGGAAUUCAGGAGUAAGGUGUUUCCAUGAAUUGUUGCAUGAGGAAUAGACACAGGCAUAGACACGAUUAUUAGCACCUUGUCCCAGUUCAUCCCAGAACACUCGAAUCCAUACGACCUUAUAAUCUAGAGUCAACAGGUCAAAUCCCAAUCCCAACUGAUGAUCAUGGUGCGAGAAAAAGGCCUCAAUCUCAAAAGGCGCAGGAGGCAGAGACCUGAACUCUCUGGUGGCAGGAUUCUACAAACCCAAGCAGACAUCGUCUUCAUAAAACUUCUUCUGCACUAAGAAUAAGCCAUCAACUGGACCAGCAACACACGUGAAAUCAGUGAUCCUCUGAAGCUGAAGGAGAGUUUUUUGUUCAGGGGUCACACCUGGAACAAUUUCUUCAGGGAGCAAGGAGAAUACAACAGACUUUACGAUGGGGUGUACUUCACGUGCUACUUUCAAGUUGCAAACAAGGAGACGGGCACAAUUGUUCUUGUGAUGAAAAUGUUUUUCUAUGAAACUUGGACUUUUGAUGAGAGCAUACCAGUGCUUGCACACACAUUUGUAACGCAAGAGUGAUUCCACUGACAAUCUCAAUAGAAUAUCAACUACUAGAUCUUCUGGUAAAGGGCGGUGACCAUCCAUACUGGUGGAAAUAUAAGUAAAGUGAGAAAACUUACAAACAUAUUGAAAGAGAACAGAUCUAUAAACAUGCUUUAAUAGAACACACAAUGCAACGAAGAAGAUCAAGCAGCAACAUUACCAUGUGAAACAAAAAAUUGUAAGUUACACAUUUGACCACUCGGCCACAAAUAUUUACAUCAGCAAGCCAAUACACAUAUAUUAUGGGUAUACAUAUUUUUAAAAAUAUUUUGACAAAAUUUCUUGUAGAUCAAUUUGGGAGAAAAGAUCCAAAAUAGUUCUUCAUGUUUGGCUUCAGACUCAAAGUCAUCCCUUCCCUUUCUUUUAUAUGGUGCACUAAAUAGUUUCAUUUUCUGGCAUUCGAAAUCCUUUUUAUUACAGUUCUAUAUUUGAUUCUGUAUCAUAUAUAUAUAUAUAUAUAUUUAUCCCUGUCGUCGCCUUAGAUUCAUUGGCCUGAAUUUGAACAUUUAUGUAGCUCGGAACACUCAAAUAUCCGCCGCACUAUACCUUGAUUGCUUUUGACUACAUCUAUGACCAGUAAGUACAAGAUUGAUUGGGUAUUUGGUUUGAUUUUUGAGUUUGUCAUAUAUAUACAUAUGAAGCACUUUGUUAUUACACGAUAUAUCUUAUGAAUAAUAUAGGCAAUGUUUAUGAAGAAUUAGUUUUUAAAAGUUUUAGUUCAAUAACUUUGAUUAAUAUAUAUACUUGUAUGUGUUUGUAUAUACAUUUAUUUCUGGUAUCUCAGCACAUGUAUCAUACCCCAAAUCCUAAAAUUCAUGUGAUGAAGAAUUUGACUUUUAGAUCCGCAACCGUUUUGGGUCCAAGCAAUUUUCUUGUGUUAGAAUCUAAAAGCUGAUUUUCAUUUCUAAAAUCGUAAGUUAAGAAACGAAAGAAAAAAAAAAUACAGAUUUCCAUCUUAAAAAUUUGAAGUCUUCCCAUUUUCUAGUGAACAAGCGGUGAUUUGCUUUUCUAAUUUUUUCCUCACUUUUAAAAAGUGUCUUUUUCCUUAUAGGAAAUAUUUUCCAAAACAUUUGAUCAACCGAACAUAGCAAAAUUGGAAAACAUGUAUCGAACACACACAGAUAAAUACAGAUUUCCAUUUUAAGUCUUCCCAUUUCUUAGUAAAGAAGUGGUGAUUUACUUUUCUAAUCUUUUUAUUAGGCAAUCAAUGAUUUUCUUUUUGUAUUUUCAACGUGGAAUGUUACUAGUGCAACUUAUUUUCCCUACUUUCAUCAUAGAAGUAAUUUAAUCACUUUUAAGGAGUUUGUUUUCUAUAGAAAAUAGUAUUUUCUAAAACAUUUGACCAACGAAAAAAAAGAGAAAAUUGAAAAACAUGUAUCGAACACAACCUACAUCAAUUUUGAAACAGAAAGAGAGAAAUGAAAAGUGAAAAAUGGUGGAAGGAGACAUAUAUAUGUGCCAUCUAAUUUAAGAGCAAAAGCAUAACGUAGAGAAAGAGAGCAGCAAAACACAAAUACAGAAAAUUGAAAUCUAACCUGAGGAAGAAGAGCCGUAAAUGAGAAAUGAGAGUAGUGAAGAAGAGGCAAAAAGCUUUGUCUAUUUAUACUACCUACUAAUUAAUUUAGGACCAAAAAUUUCCAAAGUAUUUUUUUUCUUAGAUUUUGUGUCUAGUCAAAAGAAUGUCAUUACCACUAAGCCCAUUUUCUCAUCUAAUUAAUUAUUGUCUCUAUUGCAAGAGUUUUAUUUGAGGUGUUUCACACCCUUUAAGAAAAGUAGAUUAAGACAUAAAUUGAACAUACUUUUCCAUUUUUACCCUUAUUAAUUAUUGUCAAAUUUAUUGAAGUCAUCACAUUGAAAAUCCAAAUGAAGGGUAAAAUUGGAAGAAUAUUUUAAAAAUAGUCUUGAAGAUUGAACAAUUAAGUUAAUUUGAAAAAUGGAAAAUGCCUCAAAAAUUCAAUUAAUAUGGAAUGAAGGGAGCAUACUAUAAGUGGGAAGCUCCUAAUCUCAAAGUUGAUACAAAAAUACCUUUUACUAUUUUUUUUAUUAAAUAAAUAAUUAAAGUUAAUUAGACCAAAUUUACAUGAUUAGCUGUUAGAGUUUAUCAUUUCUUAAUGAGGCUUUAAUUGUUAUCCUUUGAGCUUCUUCCAUUUACACUUAUUCAAACAGUAGUUUAAUGCUUCACACUUAAGUUAUGAUUCUUCUACCUUUCAUCCUCCGCAUUAUUCUUUCAUCUUCCGCAUUAAUAAUUUUCUCUUAAAACCUUUUCUUAUUCCUUACAUUGCAAUACUCUCUAAAAGCUUACAAGAAGUUGUCUUAGCCCUAUUAUUCUAUUUGUGUUCUAUCGGUCAGAAAUUUCCCUUUUUCAGGUAUAUCUAUGAUUUAUAUGUAUCUAUAUGUGGUUUAAAUCUCAUUCUUGAGAUGGUAUAUGUUAUUUAAUAUUAAAAUAUAAUUAUCUUUUAAGUUGGAAUUAUUUGUCCCAAUGAAAGAUUUAGUAAUGUACAAUACACUUUUCACUGAAUGUUAUAAACACGGAGAUUAAUUGUUUUAAAUGGAUAUACUUCCGUGCAUAUUGUCAGAGAGUAAUUCCUUUAAUACUUUGUUAAUUUUAUUCUGUUAGAAAUUUAAUUUAUUAUCUACUUGAAUAUUGCAAUUUGGUGUAGAAGCUUUUAGAUUAAAGGACUUUUUAAUCGUUUUUAAACUGAAAGACUACAUCAUGUUUGCAUAAGAAAAAGUUCAAAUGAAAUUCAAAUAAAAAUAUCAAUUUAUCAAUUUUUCGUUCUCCAUAUAUAGGUUUUAUUGACGGGAUGCUAGGUAUCCAAACAACCUCUCUUUUUAAAGAAAUAAAUUUUCUCUAUCUUUUUAUGACAAAUGAAGAAAUUUUCUCUAUCUUUGUUAUGACAAAUGUUAUAGGCUUAGACUUUGAUCUUCAUCUUCAAUUAUUAUUACAUACAAUUUAUAAUUAACUUGCUACAAUGGGCAUAUCACUUACGUUAUUAUAUAUUAAUACUUAGCGAUAAAUUCUUCUUUCUAUAGGUCAUUUUUGAAAAUGCUUAAAGUAAAAAAUGAUAUUAAUAUAAAAAAUUGUGUCGCAUAUAAGUUGAUACAAAAAAACACCAAGAACUAGAUAGAUAACAAUAGAUCUACAAUAAAAGUUUUGAUCAUGAUAAAGAAAUUGAAACAUCGAAGUAGAACAUAUACAAUUAAAAAUAACAUCUAUAAGAAAGUAUUAGGUAAAUAUAAUUAUAUCACAUAUUUACACCUAAUAGUAUUACUAAUGAACUCAUUUUAUACUGUGCAUAUCUAACUAAAUUAUAUGGGUACACUUUUCAAGUUUAGAUGACAUCGAAUAAUCAACUCAAUUUUUUGACUAUUCUUUAAAUUGAGCAUGUAAGUCUUUUCAUAUUAAAUUUUCUAUUUAUCAUUAUACACAUAUUUUAAUAUUAUCUUUAUCUAUAUAUAUACUAAUUUACACCGGAGAUAACACUUAUUAGAGACAUUUUUUGAUUAUCUAGAUUGUUAUAAAUGAUAUUACCAAUUAAAUUAGGAUACAGGUGCAUGACACGUGGCCAGAAACUAGUACAGUAAAACCUCUAUAAAUUAAUACUCGGUAAAUUAAUAAUCUCUCUAAAGUAAUAUUUUUCUCCGGUCCCGACUUGGGCCAAUGAAAAAAAUUCUCAAUUUCGAUAAGAUAAUAAGAUAUAUAUUUCCAGAAGACCCCUAUAUAAAUAUAUGGUCCCAUUGAUAUCAUAAAUUAAUAAUUCUUUAAAAGUACAAAUAUAUCUAAGACAAUUUAGUGAAAUAUGAUUCUAUUGUGUUCUGUUUUUUUCUUAAAAUUUAAAUCUAGUUGAAACUCAUCUCUAACUUUUCUUAUUGCAUCCAAGAGCUCCGAUAUUAUCUUUUCGAACUGCACUAUAAAAUUGUGAAGAGUUCUAGAUGCGAUAAGUGCUUCAUUACGCGCAACUGGUUCCAAAGGUAUAAUAUCAUCUUCAACUUCAUCAACAACAUUGCUUUUUCCGAUGGUAUCUGUAACACCCGUAACUAGAAAGAACUAAAAAGGAAUUUUUAAAAAGAGGAAAUAGUCAUUUUUGGAAAGUAUAAAAAUUUUGAAAUUUUCAAGUGUGUUAAAGUUGAGUUUUUGGUCAACUUCAAAUAACCAUAACUUCUAGCUCAUGAUGAGUUAGGUGUGUUUCCAAAUAUCUUAGAAAUAUCUUGGAAUAAUCUUUCCAACGCCGCCAAGUUUACGCGAUUCCGAGUUCGUAUGAGUGAGUUAUUCCCUUUGGAAGUUGGGCUGUUCAAAUAAUAAUGUCCAAUCCGGAUUUUUAAAGGGUGUUUUGGUCUUUUCCAUACCCUAUUAUUUUAGUUCGUUUUUGGUGAAUUAAUUAAGGGUCAAAACUGAAUUGGUUCAGUUUAGGCAAUUGGAGAUUUAUGCUAGGGUUUUUGGAGAAAGAACGCAAGAGGAGAAAAGAGGAGAAAGAGCAAAGUUCGUCGUUCUUGAAGGUUUAGCUUGUGGAUUUCGACAAGGGUUGAUCCCUAAAGAGGUAUGUGAGUCUUUCAUAGCAUUGAGUUCGUUCACUUACGGGCCAAUCAUGUUUAUUUCAUCGUAAAUUCGUCCUAAAAGAGUUUGAAAGUUGAUGUUCUUGACAUCUGUUCUUGAAUUUGAUAUUAUUCUUGAGUUGAGCUGAAAUUGAGAAGUUUCUGAGAUCAUUACGUCAAAUUAUUGAGUUGGUUGAAGUUAGGAUUUUAGGUACAUUUGCUGGGUAUCUGUAUCUAAAAAGAAUUUGGGAAAAAGAAUCGAAUUUGGGCGAAUUAGGGUUGGAAAAUGAAGAAGAAAAUUCGUCGGGCAAAUCUGGGAUCAUUACGUCAAAUUAUUGAGUUGGUUGAAGUUAGGAUUUUAGGUACAUUUGCUGGGUAUCUGUAUCUAAAAAGAAUUUGGGAAAAAGAAUCGAAUUUGGGCGAAUUAGGGUUGGAAAAUGAAGAAGAAAAUUCGUCGGGCAAAUCUGGGCACUGGUUCCGCGUCGUGGACCUGCUCCCCAGAUUUAAGAAAAGUCAUUUCGCGUUGCGGUCAUUGACCGUUCUGCCUCAAAAAGUAUUUUUGCGACCAAAAUUUAAAUACGCCUCCGCGUCGUGGACUAGUUUCCAGGCAGUGAUUUCUUGAUCAUUUCUCAUGUUUAGCUAUCUAAAAUCAUUCCUAAACAUCAUGAGAUCUUUCCUGUCACAAAUCUCAAUCCUUGAACCCACAAUUCAAUUCAAGGAGCAGUUAAUAGUCAAGAGAAGUUCAUAGAGUCUUCCAAGGGUCUUUUACAAAUAUUUUAACUUUGUNNNNNNNNNNNNNNNNNNNNNNNNNNNNNNNNNNNNNNNNNNNNNNNNNNNNNNNNNNNNNNNNNNNNNNNNNNNNNNNNNNNNNNNNNNNNNNNNNNNNNNNNNNNNNNNNNNNNNNNNNNNNNNNNNNNNNNNNNNNNNNNNNNNNNNNNNNNNNNNNNNNNNNNNNNNNNNNNNNNNNNNNNNNNNNNNNNNNNNNNNNNNNNNNNNNNNNNNNNNNNNNNNNNNNNNNNNNNNNNNNNNNNNNNNNNNNNNNNNNNNNNNNNNNNNNNNNNNNNNNNNNNNNNNNNNNNNNNNNNNNNNNNNNNNNNNNNNNNNNNNNNNNNNNNNNNNNNNNNNNNNNNNNNNNNNNNNNNNNNNNNNNNNNNNNNNNNNNNNNNNNNNNNNNNNNNNNNNNNNNNNNNNNNNNNNNNNNNNNNNNNNNNNNNNNNNNNNNNNNNNNNNNNNNNNNNNNNNNNNNNNNNNNNNNNNNNNNNNNNNNNNNNNNNNNNNNNNNNNNNNNNNNNNNNNNNNNNNNNNNNNNNNNNNNNNNNNNNNNNNNNNNNNNNUUAGAUGAUUCUUUAGUGCUUUUUAGCAUAGACUAGUGGAUCCACUUAGUAGUUUAGGUUCUAUACUCAUGGCAAGGUAUAUGAUGUCCUUGGCAGUGUGAGGCAAAACGUUGUAUCAUCACAAUAUCUCUUAAGUGAUGGUUGUCGGUUAGAGAAACUCCCACACAAGUAUUUUGUAUUCUUAUAUACACAGAUUAUUUGUAAUUUCAUAUAAAAUAGAGUUCAUAUUGUAUCUUUGCAUACAUACAAAGUUAUUAUUGUAUUUCUAGAUACAUAGAGUUUCUUUCCAUGUUUUAAAAGCUUUUCUUUAUAUUGCAUUUAUAUUACUGCUUUAGUUGAGUUGAGACUAGGUUUGUCGUACAUUCCAUGUACUGAUGCCAGUUGGCCUGCAUCGUUUUAUGAUGCAGACGUAGGUAACUAGGAUCAACAUCCAGUGCAUCGUUGAUCCAGUUGAGCACUCAGAGUCUGGUGGUGAGCCUCCUUUGCUUUUCCGGAGGAUCCCCUUUUUAUUGCUUUCAGUAUUUGAUUUCAUUAGGAUGUCGUGGGUCUUGUCCCGACAUCUAUAUCAGUUUUAGAGGCUUCAUAGAUAGACAAUCAGAUGUUAGUUAUUUUAGUAAUUUCAUUGUCAUUAUCUUAUGUUGAGACUUGUGUUUGCCUUAAUGGCCAGUUGAAUGUUCAUUUAUAACAUUCCAGUUUAUUACAUAGAUUUAUCUUUGUUGAGUUAAGUCUUCCGCUGAGUAAGUAAGCCAGGCCAAGGGUUUUCUUGGGGCCAACAAUGGUUCUCGAGUGCUAGCCACGUUUGGGGUGUAGGCUCGGGGUGUGAAAAACUUGGUAUCAGAGCAUAGAGUUCAAGAGUCCUAGGGAGUCUAUGAAGCCGUGUCUGUAGAGUCCUAGUUAUCGGUGUGAAGCGCGCCACAUCUAUAAUAGGAGGAUGCAACAUUUAGGAACUAUCUCACUUCUUUCACAUCCAUUUCGUGCGAUAAAGUUAAUCUCUAUAAAGUUUCUUCCAAUUCGUGGUUGUGCGUGUAUUUCAGAUCAUGCCUCUACGAAGAGCUGUCAAAGGUCGUCCGACUAGAAGGAAGGUUGAACCACAGGAACAAGGGGUACCUAAUGCACUAGAAGUGUAACCCCAAUGAGACGUCACCAAUGCUGAGUUCCUUGAGGCCAUUCAGAUGUUGAGCCAAGUUGUGACCAACCAAGCUGGGCAACAGAGAGAGAAUCUUCAGGAAGUGGCUGAUACUUCUAGAGUUUAUGAGUUCUUAAAGAUGAAUCCUCCAAACUUCACAAGUUCAAGUGUCAGCUUUAGACCUAAGGGGAGAUGACGAGAUGAAAAAUCAAGUCAAGUGUUUGAGAAUAAGAUAGUAAUGAGUCCCAAAAAGUAUGGGAGAUAUCUUUUCAGAAGACUUUUAGUAGUGAAGUGAUGUUAAAAGGAAAAGGCUAAUGAUCCAUGUGCAACAAGUUGAGGAGGACAAGCUGAGGGAUAGAGAAUAGUUUAAGAAUAAGAGGGCGAAGACAUCAGGGAAUGAGUCCGGGUGGCAGAAGAGUAAUGCCAACCGGUCUUCCUUCCAACAGAAACAAAAGUGACCUGCUCCAUCAUCUACUAGUGCACCUGUACCAAGAAACAAAUGUGAGUACAAUAGUCAGAAUUCCCAGAAUUUUAGAGCUAGACCUGCACAUUCUCAAGGCAGUGUUGCAUAAGGAGGUAAUGAGACUCAUGCAUAUGCUAAGUGUGGUCGGAACCACUUAGGGGUGUGACGGGAUGACUCCACUGGUUGCUUCAAGUGUGGUCAAGACAAUCAUUUUAUGAGAGAGUGUCCUGAGAACAGGCAGGGUAAUGGUAAUGGGAGACAAUAGAGCCCAGUCUUCUUCAGUUGCUCCACCAGACAGAGCUGCACCUAGAGGAGCUACUUCAAGUACUGGCGGAGGAGCAAACCACCUAUAUGCUAUCACUAGUCGCCAAGAGCAAGAGGAUUCACCAGAUGUUGUUACUGGUAUGAUCCAAGUCUUUAACUUUGACGUUUACGCUUUGCUAGAUCCAGGAGCGAGUUACCAUUUGUAACUCCAUAUGUUUCUAUGAAUUUCAAUUAUAUUCUGAGCAACUUAGUGUACCCAUCAGUGUUUCUACACCUGCUAGUGAGUUUAUUCUAGUAGAAAAAGUCUAUCGUGAUUGUUCCAUUUUCGUUAAUCACAAGAGUACCAUGACUGAUUUAGUUGAGUUAGACAUGGUAGAUUUUGAUGUCAUUCUAGGUAUGGAUUGGCUUCAUGCCUGUUGUGCCUCAGUUGAUUGUAGAACUCGAGUUAUCAAGUUUCAGUUUCCAAAUGAGCCAGUCUUAGAGUGGAAAAGUAGUUCAACAAUGCCUAAGGGUCGUUUCAUUUCAUACCUUAAGGCAGGAAAGUUAGUUUCCAAGGGGUGUGUCUAUCACUUAGUCCGAGUUAAUGACUCUAGUGUUGAGAUACCUCUUAUUCAGUCAGUUCCAGUAGUAAAAAAGUCUCCAGAAGUCUUUCUAGAUGAUCUACCCGUAGUCCCUCAUGAGAGAGAAAUAGACAUCGGUAUAGACCUUCUUCUAGAUACUCGUCCUACAUCUGUUCUGCCAUACUGAAUGGCACCAGUAGAGUUAAAAGAGUUGGAAGAGCAGUUGAAAGAUCUCCUUGAUAAAGGCUUUAUUCAACCAAGUGUCUCACCUUGGGGAGCUCCGGUCUUAUUUGUGAGAAAGAAAGAUGGUUCCCUUAGGAUGUGUAUAGAUUACCGUCCGUUGAACAAGGUUACCAUCAAGAACAAGUAUCCUCUUCCGAGAAUUGAUGAUUUUUUCGAUCAACUUCAGCGUGCCACCUGUUUCUCUAAGAUAGAUCUCAAAUCUGGCUACCAUCAGUUAAGAGUAAGAGAAUGUGAUAUUCCAAAGACAACUUUCAGAACCCGUUAUGGUCAUUAUGAGUUUCUAGUCAUGUCCUUUUGUUUGACCAAUGUGCCUGCAACAUUCAUGGACCUUAUGAAUAGAGUAUUCAAACCUUAUUUAGAUAUGUUUGUUAUCGUCUUCAUUGAUGACUUACUAAUCUAUUCAAGAAAUGAAGAAGAUCAUGCUAGUCAUCUCAUAAUAGUUCUCCAGACCCUAAAAGAUAAAAAAGUUGUAUGCUAAGUUCUCGAAAUGUGAGUUUUGGCUUGAGUCUGUGGCAUUCUUAAGCCACAUUGUGUCUGGAGAGGGAAUUAAAGUUGAUACUCAGAAAAUUGAGGCAGUACAGAAUUGGCCUAGACCCACAUCUCCAACUGAUAUUAGAAGUUUCUUAGGUUUGGCUGGAUAUUAUUUCAUCCCCUUUGACCAAGUUAACUCAGAAAACAGUUAAGUUUCAAUGGUCUGAAGCUUGUGAGAAAAGCUUUCAGGAGUUGAAAAAGAGGUUGACUACUGCCCCAAUAUUGACCUUACCAGAAGGUACGCAAGGCUUUGUUGUAUAUUGCGAUGCAUCCAGAGUUAGUUUGAGUUGUGUGUUAAUGCAGAAUGGUAAUGUUAUAGCUUAGGCCUCCAGACAGUUGAAAGUUCAUGAGAAGAAUUACCCAACCCAUGAUUUAGAGUUGGCUGCUGUAGUUUUGCUUUGAAAAUAUAGCGUCAUUAUCUUUAUGGUGUUCAUGUGGAUGUGUUCACCAAUCACAAGAGUCUUCAAUAUGUGUUUAGUCGGAAAGAGCUUAAUCUCAGACAAAGGAGGUAGUUAGAAUUACUCAAGGAUUAUGACAUGAGUAUUUUUAUCACCCAAGUAAGGCUAAUGUUGUUGUUGAUGCCUUGAGCAGGUUGUCUAUGGGUAGUACCGCCCAUUUUGAGGAAGAUAAGAACGAGUUAGCAAAAGAGGUGUAUAGACUUGCAUGACUAGGAGUUCGACUAAUGGAUUCCACAGAAGGAGGAGUAGUGGUGAUGAAUGGGGCUGAAUCAUCAUUAGUGUCAGAAGUGAAAGAGAAGCAAGACCAAGAUCCUUUAUUUCUUGAAUUAAAAGGCAAGUGUUCAUAAGCAAAAAAGUGAUGGGUUUUGAGAGAUGGUGUUUUGAGGUAUCAAGGUGGAUUGUGUGAUUGAUUUCAAGGGUAAUUUGGGAUGAUCCCCUACCUCUCAUUAAGUUUGCUUACAACAAUAGUUACCAUUCUAGCAUCCAAAUGGCUCCAUAUGAGGAUCGGAGAAGAUGCAGAUCUCUUAUUGGAUGGUUUGAAGUUGGUGAAGUUGGGUUGAUAGGUCCAGACUUAGUUCAUCAGGCUAUGGAGAAGGUGAAAGUUAUUCAAGAGAAGUUGAAAAUUGUCACGACCCGAGCCUACACCUAGACGUGGCCGGCACUCGAGAACCAUUGCUGGUCCCCAAGCGAACCCUUAUCCUGGCUAACUACAAGCGGAAAACUGAUUCAAGCAUACAAAGCUUAAAACUGAAUAGCAUUCAUGAAACUGAAAUACAAAGCUUUAACUCAAAUGAAAAACUCUGAAUAAAAUAAUAUAUUCAACUCGCCAUAAAAUAGGCAACUUAAGUCUUUAAAACAUUUAAUAAAAUAAAUGAAUAAUACAAACUUCUCAACUAUACUAACUAUCUAUGAAGCCUCUAACUGAUAAAGAUGGAAGUCGGGACAAGACCCACGACCUCUUAACUAAACUAAAAAGUAAAUGAAAUCCUCCGAAAACGAGGAGGCUCACCAUAGCUAACUCGAACUCCCGGAUGUGUCAACGAAUCUCCUGUUGAUGAUCCUGAAUACCUGUGUCUGCAUCAUGAGAAGAUGCAGGCCAAAUGGCUCAGUACGCGGAAUGUACGAGCUUGUAAGAGGAAUUCUAAAGCAUAAACAUAAGCUUGAAACUUGAUAAAAAUGGAAAAUACUUGCCUCUUUUCAAACUUACUCAACUCAAGGAAUACUCAAGGAUACUCAAAACUACUCAAACGUACUCAACUCAGAAGUACUCAAAGAUAAGAUACUCAACUCAAAGAUAUGUUAUUCGACUCUGGGUACUCAACUCUGUAUACUCAACUCAAUAUAAAGCAACAAUAAGAGAUGCAAUAUAUAGAAAGCUUUAUAAAAUAGUAAAAACAACUUAGUUCGUUAAAGAAAAUGCAAUAACAAACUCAACUUUACUUAUACAAUAAAGUAAUGUAGUUUAUGUGGAGUUUCUCCAACCGACAACCACCACUAUGAGCCUAAGUGNNNNNNNNNNNNNNNNNNNNNNNNNNNNNNNNNNNNNNNNNNNNNNNNNNNNNNNNNNNNNNNNNNNNNNNNNNNNNNNNNNNNNNNNNNNNNNNNNNNNNNNNNNNNNNNNNNNNNNNNNNNNNNNNNNNNNNNNNNNNNNNNNNNNNNNNNNNNNNNNNNUUAAUAUGAACUCGCAUCCCCAUAUCGAUGCUCAAUACUACUCCCAAAAAAUAUACUUAGCUCUUAUGUUUUAAAAAACCAAACUUCUUUCUUUGGUUUGAGAUAAUUACUCAAAACUUAGCUUAAAAGCUUUCUUGGAAUCGAUGUUCCCUUUCUUGCUCAAAACUCUUUUGGAAAUCUUAAUUUCCUCUCAUCUUAAAUGUGAAAACAUUACUCUUGGAAAUACUUAGUUCCCAUAUAUUAUUUUAAAGAAAAUGAACUUUACUCUUACUCUUUACUCAACUUCAAAGCUUAAGUCUUAAAACAAAAUUUAAACAUUUGUAAAAGACUUCUUAAAAUAUGGUUCAUGCCGAAUUAUGGACGUGAACGACUCAAUGCAAGGUUUUCAAUAACCAAAGAUAGAACUCAAUACUUGGAACUCAAGAACUUCAUUGUUAAUACUCGUUGCAAAAAUGCUCAACUCAGAGGGUUCAUGCGGAAUUAUGAGCAUGAAUAACCCAACUCAAACUUCAUGGGUAACAUGUAAUAGUCCCAUGAUUAGAACUAUAAUCUCAGAGGGGAUUAGAAACUCAAAACUCAAGACUUAGAACUUGAAGAUACUACUCCUUUCAAAGAUAUUGAACUGAUGGAGUUCAUGCAGAAGUUAUGGGCAUGAACGACUUGACUCAAGGGUCAAAAUAUCAAUAANNNNNNNNNNNNNNNNNNNNNNNNNNNNNNNNNNNNNNNNNNNNNNNNNNNNNNNNNNNNNNNNNNNNNNNNNNNNNNNNNNNNNNNNNNNNNNNNNNNNNNNNNNNNNNNNNNNNNNNNNNNNNACUUUUAACUCUCUCUUGAAUGUGAAUUAUGAAUUCAAGAGUUAUGGCUCAAGCUAUAAAAGAUAUCAUGACGAAAAAAUAGACUCAUGAAUACAUUCUCCUCACUCUCAUGCUCACUACUUGAGUGUUGAAAGAAGUUACUAGAAGUUGUAGAAGACUCCACAAAAGGACUCAAAGGGACUUUCUUAGAAUGUUUGAAAGAAUUCUCAAAACUUAGCUCUCAACUCUACCUUGAAUUUGAAUUAUUAAUUCAAGGUUAUGAUAAUGUUAUGAAUGAUUUCUAGGUGUUUAGAAGUAGUUUAAAGUGUUUAGAAUCAAAGGGGAGUAAAGGUACCAUUUGAAAGAACUCAAACAGACGAAACGAUGAACAACGGGUGGGGGCCGGCGACCCUGGCGCUCUGAGUCACGUGGGGCGCCAGCCCCUAAAGUUCAGAGAGGUGGUUGGGGCUCUCUGGCUGGCGUGACACUCCAGGCCCCAACCCAGAAAAGUUCGACGACUUUCUUUGCUCGUUUUCUCACCCUAAGUCGCCUAAAAUCGAACAGUUUCUUCCCCAAUCACUUGGAUUUAAUUAAUUAACAUUAAUACACUCUCAUAUACUCAAAACAACACUCAAAUUACUAAAUUUCAUUUGAAGAAAUCAUCAAAACCCCAACACAACAAGAUUUAGAAUGAACUUCAAGAACACCUAUCAAGAACUCAAAUCUUUCAACUUCAAGAAUGAAAUUUGGGCUGAAAAUAACAUGUUUGGAGUGUGGGUGAACAAACCCAACAUUAUGGAAGCUUACAUACCUCUUAGGGAUCAAACCCAUGGCAAAAAUCUGCAACAAGACGGAAGAAUCUCGACGAACGCUUGAUCCUCUCCUCUUUUCUCUUCUUUUCUCUUCUUGAACUCUCAACUAAAACCCUAGGCAUAAACUAGGAUUAUAAAACUGAACAUAAUCAAAUUAUACCCCUAAAAUAUUACUAAAAACGAAUUAAAUCUGAUUGGGUAAGGAAAAGACCAAAAUACCCCUUACUAUUUUCGACUAACUUUCCUUAACUGGGUUGCCUAACUUCAAAAGGUCAUAUCUCACUCAUCCAAACUCGAAACUUAGAAAACUCGUUGGCGUUGGAAAGAUAAUUCAAAGAUAUUUCCUACGGUAUCUGGUAGCACACCUAACGCAUCCUGAGCUAGGAUUUAUGGUCGUUUGAAGUCGACCCAAAACUCAUACUUAAGCAUAACUUGCAAAAUUUCAGAUUUUGCUAUUUCCAAGUUUGAACUUUUUUGGAACUCAAGGUGCUACAUCCAGUGACCUUAAAACUUAAGAAAUUUUUAAUUCCUUGGAAAAAUCUCACUUACUACGAUGAACGGUUCGAGUCUUAGUUCAAUUUUUUUUUUGGGUGUUACAAAAACAGCGUAGAGUCCUCAGAAAUCCUACAUUGAUGUUAGGAGAAAGAAGUUAGAGUUCGAAGUAGAUGAUUGGGUCUACUUGAAAGUUUCACCCAUGAAGGGUUUUAUGACAUUUGGUAAGAAGGGGAAGCUUAGCCCCCGGUAUAUUGGUCCUUACAGAAUAUCCAAGAGAUUCGCAAUGUAGCUUAUGAGUUGGAGCUACCUCAAGAGUUAGCAGCGGUUCAUUCGAUUUUUCACGUCUCCAUGUUGAAAAAGUGCAUGGGCGAUCCUUCUUUGAUCAUACCAACCGAAGAUAUUGGGAUCAAGGAUAGCUUAUCUUAUGACGAGAUUCCUAUUCAGAUUCUAGAUCGCCAAGUUCACAAGUUGAGAACAAAAUAGGUAGCAUCAGUCAAAGUCUUUUGGUGGAAUCAAUUUGUUGAGGAAACUACUUGGGAAUCGGAGGAGGAUAUGAAGAAGAGAUAGCCACAUCUCUUCGAAUCAGGAGAAAUUCCAGAACAAGGUACUAAUUCAUUUCUUAGUACUCUUUAACUUAUGAGAUUGCAUGUUGUAGUUGCAUUGGUUGUUGGCUGUUUGAACUGAAUGUUAGAUGUUAUGCCCUUAACUUACUAAGAGUAAGCUCAUUCGAGGAUGAAUGUUCCCAAGGGUGAGAUAUUGUAACACCCGGUAACUAGAAAGAACUAAAAAGCAAAUAGUCAUUUUUGGAAAGCAUAAAAAUCUCGAAAUAUUUAAGUGUGUUAAAGUUGAGUUUUUGGUCAAAUUCAAAUGACCAUAACUUCUAGCUCAGGAUGAGUUAAGUGUGUUUCCAGAUAUCUUAGGAAAUAUAUUGGAAUAAUCUUUCCAACGCUGCCGAGUUUACGCAAUUCUGAGUUCGUAUUAGUGAGUUAUGCCCUUUGGAAGUUGGGCUGUUCAAAUAAGGAAAUGUCCAAUCCAGAUUUUUAAAGGGUGUUUUGGUCUUUUCCAUACCAUAUUAUUUUAAUUCAUUUUUGGUGAAUUAAUUAGGGGUCAAAACUGAAUUGGUUCAGUUUAGGCAAUUGGAGAUUUACGCUAGGGUUUUUGGAGAAUGAACGCAAGAGGAGAAAAGAGGAGAAAGAGAAAAGUUCGUCGUUCUUGAAGGUUUUACUUGUGGAUUUCGACAAGGGUUGAUCCCUAAAGAGGUAUGUGAGUCUUUCAUAGCAUUGAGUUCGUUCACCUACGCGCCAAUCAUGUUUAUUUCAGCGUAAAUUCGUCCUAAAAGAGUUUGAAAGUUGAUGUUCUUGACAUCUAUUCUAGAAUUUGAUAUUGUUCUUGAGUUGGGCUGAAAUUGAGAAGUUUCUAAGAUCAUUACGUCAAAUUAUUGAGUUGGUUGAAGUUAGGUUCUUAGGUUUAGGUACAUUUGCUGGGUAUCUGUAUCUAAAAAGAAUUUGGGAAAAAGAACCGAGUUUGGGCGAAUUGGGGCUGGAAAACGAAGAAGAAAAUUCGUCAGGAAAAUCAGGGCACUGGCUCCGCAUCGCGGACCUGCUCCCCAGAUUUGGGAAAAGUCAUUUCGCGUCGCGGAGCGGUCACAGACCGUUCUGCCUCAAAAAGUAUUUUUGCGACCAAAAUUUAAAUACACCUCGACGUCGUGGACUAGUUUCCAGGCAGUGAUUUCUUGAUCAUUUAUCAUGUUUAGCUAUCUAAAAUCAUUCCUAAGUAUCAUGAGAUCUUUUCUAUCAAAAAUCUCAAUCCUUGAACCUAUAAUUCAAUUCAAGGACCAGUUAAGAGUUAAGUCAAGAGAAGUUAAGAGUCAAGUCAAGAGAAGUUCAUAGAGUUUUCCAAGGGUCUUUUACAAAUGUUUUAACUUUGUUUUAAGACUUGAGUUUGAGUUGAGUAAAGUUUGAAGUUCAUUUCUUCAAAAGAGUAUAUCGGGACUAUGUAUUUCCAAAGAGUAAAAUGUUUUUCACAUUUUAAAGAAGAAAUGAAACUUUGAUUUCCAAAAGAGCCUUUGAGCUAGUUUUCAGUGAAGAGCCUUUGAGUUAGUUUUCAGUUUAAAGAGUAAAUGCUUUCACAAUAAAGCAAGAGAGGAAACUUAGAUUUUCAAGAUAGCCUUUGAGCUCAGUUUUUGAGCAAUUAUCUCAAAUCACAGAAAGAAGUAUGUUUUUUAAAACAUAAGAGCUAGUAUUAUUUUGGGAGUAGUAUUGAGCACCGAUAUGGGGUAGAGUUCAGACAACUCACAACCCCCAUAAACCAUGUAGCCACCAUGGGUAGAAAAGGGUCCUAUUGUUUAGAUGAUUCCUUGAUGCUUUUUAGUAUAGACUAGUAGAUCCACUUAGUAGUUCAGGUUCUAUACUCAUGGCUAAGUUUAGGACGGCCCUGGCAGAGUGAGGCAAAACGCUGUAUCAUCACAAUAUCUCUUAAGUGAUGGUUGUCGGUUAGAGAAACUCUACAAUAGUAUUUUGUAUUCUUUUAUACACAGAUUAUUUGUAUUUUCAUAUACAAACAGAGUUCAUAUUGUAUCUUUGCAUACAUGCAAAAUUAUUAUUGUAUUCCUAGAUACACAAAGUUGCUUUCCAUGUUUUAAAAUCUUUUAUUUAUAUUGCAUUUAUAUUACUGCUUUAUAUUGAAAUCAAUUCAAUUCAGUUGAGUUGAGACCAUGUUUGUUUCUUCAGUUCCUUUUAAGCUUAUGUCUUGUUUUAGAUUUCCCCUCGCAUACUCGUACAUUCAAUGUACUGAUGCCAGUUGGCCUGCAUCUUUUCAUGAUGCAGACGCAUGUAACUAGGAUCAACAUCCAGCGCAUCGUUGAUCCAGUUGAGCACUCAGAGUCUAUGCUAAAAUGCACUUAAGGAAUCAUCUAAAAAGUAUGAUCUUUUACUAUCCAUGAUGGCUACAUGGUUUAUGGAGACGUGAGUUAUCUGAACUCAAACUCGUCCCUAUAUCGGUGCUCAAUAUUACUCCCAAAAUACUCAGCUCAUAUGUUUAAAAACAUAACUUUUUCUGUGGUUUGAGAUAACUACUCAAAAAUCUAUUCUUAAAAGAGAUGAUACUCAAACUGCUCAAAACUCUUUUGAAAAUAUCUGUUUCCUCUCAUCUUAAAUGUGAAAACAUUUACUCUUGGGAAUACUUAGUUGCCAUAUAAUCUUUGAAGAAAUAAACUUUACUCUUACUCUUUACUAAACUCAAAGCUUAAGUCUUAAAACAAAGUUAAAACGUUUGUAAAAGACUUCUUAAAAUAUGGUUCAUGCCGAAUUAUGGACAUGAUGGACAUGGAUGACUCAAUGCAAGGUUUUCACUAACCAUAGAUAAAACUCAAUACUUGGAACUCAAGAACUUCAAUGAUACUGCUCAUUUCAAGAAUGCUUAACUUAGAGGGUUCAUGCAGAAUUAUGAGUAUGAACUACUCAACUCAAGGACUCAAGGACUCAAAGAUACUUCUCAUCUGAAGACAGGAACUCAACACUUAAAGGCUUAGAACUUGAAGAUACCACUUCUCUGAANNNNNNNNNNNNNNNNNNNNNNNNNNNNNNNNNNNNNNNNNNNNNNNNNNNNNNNNNNNNNNNNNNNNNNNNNNNNNNNNNNNNNNNNNNNNNUUAGGAACUCAAUACUCAAGACUUAGAACUUGAAAAUACUACUCCUCUCAAUGAUGCUCAAUUUAUGGAGUUCAUGUGGAAUUAUGGGCAUGAAUGACUCCCAAUAACGAACUAAUGUAUACGACUUUUCUCCAUACUUACUUAUUCAAAACUUAACUCAAAUUGAUGGUGGAUCUAAAAGGAUUCACAAUUGAAAUCAAAGUCUUCCUUGAACUCUACUCUUUAACUCCUCUUGAAUGUGAAUUAUGAAUUCAAGAGUUAUGGUUCAUGAUAUGUAGGAUAUAAAUGAUAGUGUAGACUCAUGAAUACAUUCUCCUCACUCUCAUGCUCACUUACUUGAGUCUUGAAAUAAGUUAUUAGAAAUUGAAGAAGACUCCUCAAAAGGACUCUCUCAAAAUGAUUAAAAAAACUCUCAAGACUUAACUCUCAACUUUACCUUGAAUUUGAAUUAUGAAUUCAAGGUUAUGAUUCAUGUUAUGAAUGAUUUCUAAGUGUUUAGAAGUAGUUUAGAGUGAUUAGAAUUAAAGGGAGUGAAGGUUCACUUAAAAGGGGCUCAAACGGGACAACCGACGGAAAAUGAGUUGGGGCAACCAACCCUGGCGCGUUCCGGGCGCAGGGAGCCAGCCCCUAACUUCAGAGGCUGCAUAUGGGUGCACUGCAGGGGCGCUGCCCCAGCCCCUUGGUCGCAUUUGGGGCGCGCCACCCUAGCCUCUCCCCAGGUCAAGUUCGACGAAUUUUGCCUCUCGUUUUCUGAUCCUAAAUCACUUUUAAUCGAUUUAUUUUCUCAAGUUUCCCUUAAAUUCAAUUACUGAACCUAAGUACACACUAAUCCACUCAAAACAAUCACUUUCAUCUCGAGAAAUCAUCAAAACCCCAACAAGACAAGAUUUAGAAUGAACUUCAAGAACACUUAUCAAGAACUUAAAUCCUUUAACUUUUGAGAGUGAAAUUGCGCUGAAAGUAACAUGUUUGGCGUGUGAGUAAACAAACCCAAUAUUAUGAAAGCUUACAUACCUCUUAGGGAUCAAACCCAUGGCGAGAAUCCGCAACAACACGCAAGAAUCUUGACGAACGCUUGAUCCUCUCCUUUUUUCUCUUCUUUUCUCUUCUUGAACUCUCAACUAAAACCCUAGGUGUAUUUUAGGAUUAUAAAACUGAACCUAAUCAGAUUAGACCCCUAAAACAUUACUAAAAAAUGAAUCAAAUUUGAUUGGGUAAGGAAAAGACCAAAAUACCCCUCUAAAAUUUGAUUUUGAGUUUCCUUAUCUAGACAUCCCAACUUCUAAUGGCCAUAUCUCCCUCAUACGAACUUCAAAUUGAGUAAACUCGGUGGCGUUGGAAAGAUAAUUCAAAAAUAUUUCCUAAGGUAUCUGGUAGCACACCUAAAUCAUCUUGAGCUAGGUGUUAUGGUCGUUUGAAGUCGACCCAAAACUCAUACUUAACUUAACUUGCAAAAUUUCAGAUUUUGCUAUUUCCAAUUUAGUUCUUAUUGGAACUCAAGGUGCUACAUAUAGUUACCUUGACACUUAAAGAAAAUUUUAAUUUCUUGAUUAAAUCUCACUCACUACGAAGAACGGUUUAGGUCUUAGUUCGAAAAUUUUUCUGGGGUGUUACAAAAUUCUUCUUCAAUAAUUGAAUCUAUUAGUUAGUGAACUCGAGUAAAUGGCUAAAAACAUCCCUGAACUAUACCUCAAACUCAAACUACAUCCGUGUAUCAUUACAUUGAACAAAAAACAUCCUUCAACUAUCUAAAAAACUGCAAGUUACAUCCUUAUGUUAACUUUCUAUCAAGAAACUAAUCACUUUAAGUAGAAGCACACAACAUUCCGAUAAAGGCAAACAAUUUUGCCCACUCACUGAUCUUCUCUAUCAAGUAGUAAACUAGUAAUCAUAUUAAAAGGUAUUCUAUGACUAGCAUUAUUGUAGGAAUAUUAAUUAAUUAAGGCCUAAAGAUUUAUAACUUGGGACUUGUUCAACUUUGGUUUGUCCCUUUUUUAAUUUUACUGAGCUUGUUAUUAUGUUGUUAGCUUUUCUAUCAAGACUCUUAUUGAUCCCAUGCUAUUUCGAGUUUGCUUUAUUUUUUCAUUUUCUAAUUAGUACGUUACUCCUCCAACAACAUUCAUCAAAUUUCCAAUACUCUCAACUAAUUAAAUGAAAACUUUAAACAUAAAAAUCAGAUGUAAACCUUGCAGAUUUGUCUUUGGACAUAAAAAUAAUAAUUAUGUGAUACUAAAAUACAAGGAUUUGAACUCUUAAUUAGUGUGUGUUUUGGUGCUGGGAAAAAUAAUUUUUAAAAAUAUAUUUUCAAUUUUUCAUAUUUAAUUGACCAAAGUUUUUGAAAAAUAUUUUAUCUAAGAAGACAAGUUCUUAAAAUAUAAAAAAAAAUGAGUUGUAAUAUCGACGUAGGAAAAAAAGCUCCACAAAUGACAUUUCAAAUUCAUUCACAAAUCCUUUUAGCAAAGACAAUGUUUGUUCUAUGUUUAAGAAGACAGUGAGGGGACAAAAUCUCUUUUCAUUAGGAGAUGGUCGCUAUAUUUUUGAUAGAAAAUUAAGGAGGGAUGUAACUUGUAACUUUCAAAAUAGUUCAGCGAUGGUUUUUGUUCACAAUAAUAAUAUAAGGAUGUAGUUUGAGUUUAAGGUAUACUUAAAGGAUGUUUUUGGCCAUUUACUCUAGUGAACUCCUCCAUUAAUGACUAGUCUAAAGUUAGAUUCUUGUAACUUUCAAUUUUGAUUUUGAUUUUGAACUACCAACAAAUUAUCAAAGUGAUGAAAAGUAUGUGAUUUGGUGGUGGGAAUUGACUUAGUGAUGAAAACCUGAUGAGGGCGGUGACCUGGUGGUUGAGGUGAGCCACCGCUGAUGUUUAGUAUGGAUCUGAUGAUGAAGAUUGAAGGGAAGAGAUAAAGAAGGUAACAAAUAAAUAAAAGGAAACAUAUUUUUAAAAAAGUAGAAUAUUAAUAUAAAUUAAAUAAAAUAUUUAUGAAGUUAAUAUUCUAAUUAUUUUUUGAUCUCUCACUCUCCCAAAGAGAGUGAACUAUACCUUCUUUGCCACAUCAACAUUUAGGGAGCAAAUAACUCCAUUUUAAAAUAGUCCAGGGGUGUAAUAGGACUCUUGUAAAGUAUGAGUGUGUAGUUGGGAAUCCGACUAUUGGUUGGGGGCAGUGGCGGAGCCAGAAAUUUUAAUAAUGGGGUUCAAAAUCUGAGAAGUAAACACACGAACUAGUGGAAGAGGGUUCGACAUCUAUUAUACAUACAUAAAAAAUAAUUUUAACCAUGUAUAAAUAGUAAUAUUUUUCGUCGAGGGGGUUCGGAUGAACCCCUUCAUUACAUGCUGCCUCCGCCCCUGGUUGGGGGGCUUUUGGCCAUUUUCUCUUCUUUUAUAUGGUGCACUAAGUUUCAAGUGUUAGUGCACUUUUAGUCUCUUUAUUAACAUCCAUUUACUCAUUAACGUUUUGAUCGAUCCUUUACACAUCCAUUUAUGGCCUCCGCUGUAUACGUUCUGGUACAAAACAAAUUAAUUCUUAGAUUUAUCUUAGCAAUUGCAGAUGAGUCUUCAUUUAUACUUGUUUUAUUUUUUGGCUCUGCAUCUUCAUUGUUUGGUGUGCACCAUUAAAGAUUUGCUAAUUCUUUAACUUUCUCCUCUAUUUUCCAUACACAAUUAAUAGGCUGACUAAGCCUUUGGGUUUUUCCUGAAUAAAAGUUUCUUGUGCUUUGCCUAUAUGUAUAUCUGGAGCAUAACCAAAGAAUAAAAUAAAAACAAGAAAAAAGGAAAAAUAUAAUGCAUGUAUCAAUAUCUCAAAUUAGAGUCGGAUAAAGGGUGUGUUCUAAUCAAAUUUUUUGGAAAAGAUUUUGUUUAGGAAAACAAGUUUCAUACGUGACACUUCAAAUGAAAAAAAAGACUUUGUUUAGGAAGUAGGGAAAACAAGUUUCAUAUGUGACAUUUCAAUUGAUUAUAUUGUCCGCCCACUCUCUAAGACACCACAUCUUCACCUCAGUACUCCCAUAGCUUCCAUACCCACUACCCUACACAUCUACCCUACCUCCGUCUCUCAUAGUAUUUGUCUAGAUUAUACGUAAAUGCUUUUAGAAUAACCAGCCAAAUAGAGUCAACAGGAGGAGACUAGUAAAGAAGUAGUCAUGUGGUUUUCUAGUCUUUUCAUUAACUAGUCAAUAGUUAUUCUUGAGCUACAUAUCAAGUUAGCAUAUAGAGCAAUUUUGCAGGUAAUUUAAGGAGCAUUAAACAUUAAUUAUCCUUUUCUACUAUUAUCAAUCUACAAAUCCUUGGAAAUGGAACAAUUUUAACUUACCCAAUAUUGAAAUGUGAAAGAUGGACAGAAGUAAAAAGAAUUAGCGUAACAAUGGCAGCAAAACCCUAUAUCCCCAAAUAGGACAAAUUCAGAUUCAGAUUUAAAAAAAUAAUCAGAAAUCUAACCUUAUAAGCUGAUGAAGUAGAAGUGGCAAAAAGAGAUACUGGAUUGAUUGAGUGGUGUUGUAGAAAUACCUCAACAGUUGACUACUUCCUCACAUUUCUUUUGUCAUUAUAUUUUAUACAACUCCUUUUAAUUCCUUUUAUCUAAGUUUUUAAUUAUGCGGUGGAGUAAUAAGUACUUAUUCAUAUUUAGUUAGAGGUUUCGGAUUUGAGUCUUUUUGGCUAUAAAAGGAUCUUUGUUAGGGAGUGCUUUACCCAUAAUUUGAGAUUUUUUGGCACAAAUUCAAAUUUAGUGAGGCUCUAAUUUGGAUAUCGAACACUGAGUGGAAAACCAAAAAAAGAAAAAUUACCAUAGGGCUCAUUUGGUAGGUGGAUAAAGCUACAUCUACAUGGUUUUUCAUGUAUUUAAUUUAUAUAAUGUUUUGUUGGUAGAAUGUUGUAUAAAAGUUAUUCAUGUAUUAACAAAGAUGUUUCUCUCUACGAUAUGUUCCCGCAAGAGAAAGAGUUUGUUAUUUGAGGGGGGGGGGUUAUUUGGAGUCUUUUAACCACAAUUUGAAGCCUCGACAUAUCUCUUUUAUCCAUGGUUCAAGGCCCCGACGUAUUUUUUUUGCCACGGUUCGAGGCCCCAACAUAUCUCUAUUCGCCUUGGUUCAAAUCCUAACAUGUGGUUCAUUUGGGUUCUUCGGGGUGCCUUCACCAAAGUUCAAGUCUGGAAUCAGCCAUUGCAGUUCUUGAAAGCUUUUAAUGUAGCUAGUGUUAUUCAUAGUACUUCUGUGUACUUAUCAGACCUAAGUGAAUCCAAACUCGUUUGAGUUAUUUACUUUCCAAUUGCGCACGAAUAUACGUACUUGCUGGGCUUAUAGGGUCCAGUUAGGUUAUAGAUAAUUGUUUUACUUUACUACUUCGUUCUAUCCACACUUGUGAGCUAUAUAGUUAGAUUUUCUGUUAUUGCUUUGUUCAUUUUACCUCUAAUUACCGUUACUUUCAUAUUGUUUUUACUUUCCAAGUUUAGUCAAACUAUGAUGCCUACUCGACACAUGUUGUUUUGAUAUUCAUGCUACACUCCACAUCUGUUUUCUUGAUGUAGAUUUGAGCACCUGCUGAUAACGGUGAUUCGAGCCUAAGUAAUGCGAAGAUCUUCUGAGAUGAAGGGUGAGUUGUUGGCUUCCUAGUUCGACUUAUCUCCAUAUGUAUAUAGUUUUUUACCUGUCUUUUGUAUUCGAGACAAGUAUAUUAAUUAGUAAGUCAAUAGCAUAGGCUCUAAACUAUGACUAAAACAUUGAGUGCAUGACAUGCACAUCUUACUCCUUAUUUUCCUUAUUCAGGGCCGUCUUAACCUCUAGGCCACUAAAGCCAUCGCUUGGGGUCCCAUAUAUUUUGGGUCCCCCAUUUUAAAAAAACAAUUACUUAUAUAUGUUAUUUUUUUAAAAAUAAAUUAUAUGUACUAUUAGCGUUAUGAUUUAUGCUAAAGAAAUUGCAUAUGAGAUGAAAAUAUACCUUAAUUUCGUAAGAAACGGUUUGAUGAAAAUAUGGAUAGAGAAAUCACAAAGUCCCUUGAAUAAUCUUUUAGUGUUUAUUGAUUUAUAUAUGUAGGGUAGAUCAAACUAUUUUUUCAUUUCAAAAUAGAUUCGAACCAAUUGAAGCAUAUAUAUGGAAAUAUUUUUGAUUUCUUAUUUAGUAGUAAAAUGUUGAGAUCACUAGAUGAUGAAUUUAAAAAAUAUUGUCUUAACCUUGAACUUUCUUUAACAUGUAAUAGUUAUUCUGAUAUUGAUGGUUUAAAUUUAUUUUUUGAAUUAAAAGUGUUAAGGGAAAUAAUACAAAUAGAAGAUAAUGAUCUAACAAAAAUACUCAAUCAAAUAAAAAGACUUGAUUCUUUUUCAAAUACACAUAUUGCUUAUAGAAUAAUGUUAACAGUUCAUGUAACCGUUACCUCAGCCGAAAGAAGUUUUUUCGAAAUUAAAAUUGAUUAAAUCUUCUUUAAGAUGAACAAUGUCUCAAGAGAGAUUGAAUGAAUUAGCUAUAUUACCAUUUGAAAAAUAAUUAUUAAAACAAAUUGAUUAUGAAACAGUACCUAUUGACUUCGCAUCUAAAGUAGCUAGAAAAGAAGAUUUUAAAUAAAAGUAUAUAGGAUGAAAAAAAUAAAAUAUUAGGGCCCCUCUAUUCAGUUUUCCUUUAGGCCCCUAAUGUUGUUGAGUCGGCCUGGUUAUUCGUACCUAUUUUUUUCAUACUUUCUAACUUCACUAGUACAUUAUCAUUUGUUAAGGAAAAUUAUGUAAACUGAAUAGUAGAUGGCCUGAUCCACUUAUGAGUGAGUGCUAGUUCAUUGAUUGAUACAACUAAUUCACAUUAAAUAAUAUAUAUUACAUUUUUGAACUGUUAAACUAGAAAUAAGAUUAAGGAUAAGGGAACUCUGUAUUAACUUCACUUUUCCUUAUUAGUAUCAAAAGUUUCUCGUUUAGGAAAUAGGAAGUUUUGAAGGACUAAUAUUAUCCUUUCUUUUAAAUUGAACUCUAUCUAAUGGCUGAUUCUAUUUAUGAAUCAAUCCCUUAGGUGCAUUAUUUCCAUAGGUUCCAACAUUGGUAACAAAAUCUAGCUUUCUCGCUUGAAUUGGCAUAAUUCUAUACUUCCCUCAUCUUAUCUAUCACGGAGGCCGCUCCCACCUUAUCCCUUAUAUCCUCAUUCUAAUCUUUAUCACUCCGAGUAUGAACACGCAUCCACCUCAAUAUCCAUAUCUCUGCAACAUGCAUCUUCUAGACAUGAGAGUUCUUGACUGGCCAACUCUCAUUUCCAUACAACAAUUUACAUACACACUCUAUAUAAAUACACACAUACAUAUAUUGGUGGAAAAAUCAUCAAUAGAUGAAACUUAAACAAUACUCUCUCUAUCUCAAUUAAUGUGACAAUUGGAUUUUAUCUUUUAAAUUGUUAAUUAUUGUGAUUUACCUUUUCACAUAAUUUUCAAAUAUAUAAAUUUUAUAUAAAAAAAUUUAAAGCUUCUGUAUCCGAAUUUACUGUCAAAUUAUAGAAGUUUGAAUCUCAAAAUUUCAACUAAUGCCACGUAAAUUAAAUCAACCCUAACACUCAAAAAAGCUACAAAUAAUUCAAACAUAGAAAGUAAAAAAGAAGUAGAAAAAACCUUGAUAUAUAUAUAUAUAUAAAUAAAUUAUAUAUUGAUUUGUAAUUGGUUGCUGUCACUUCUGAGCAAAAUCGUGCACACUCAAUGGAUGCUGUUACAAGUAAUAUUGGUGUACAAAUAACUACCAAAAACAAAGGGAAAAUGCCAAGAGUUGGGGUUGAUGCAUCGCGAGUUGGUUCAGGCCAAAAAAUAAUGGAUUCAGGACACAAACUAAUGGAUACAUCUGAUGUUGAAGAUGCUGAAGAUUCUGGACAGCAUGUUUUGCAAGUUGAAACCAAGAAUGCAACUAAAAAUUGGACACUAGUUGCACACAAAAAUUCAACUAGUAAUCGGAGCCUUUCCCGACUAAUCAAAAUAAUUCUCCAUGUAGUGAAAAGGGUGCGACUGAAAAUUUUCAUGACAGUGAGAAGAGGCAAGAUAUUAGUAAUGCCUCAAGAUACCUAUUUUGUUCGAAUAGCUUUGAUGCUUUAUCAAAGACUACUGGAAAGAAAGUAAAGUUAACAGAGAAUGACAACGAUUUGAUCUAAGAAAAGCAAGUCUCACCACCUACUUUGAAUAGCAAAUUAAGUCCAAAAGCUCCCAUAUUUGUGCCUAAAUGCGUGAUUGUAAAGAAGAAUGAGACAAGGGCCUUAGUGUCAGAUACAAUUGAUUUGAGCGAGGAUUCUCUUGAUGAAGAUGAGGAAGACAAUAUGCUUGAUUUGGGCGAGGAUUCUCUUGAUGAAGAUGAGGAAGAUAUGCUGGACAUAUGCUUUGACAGAGUGGCUAGGGAAGGAGAUAUAUCACCUCGGCAACAAAUAAGUAGAAGCAACAAAAGCAAAAAGAAGACACAUGGAAGGCAACAUAGUUGAGACGGUAAAAUGACUGAGGAGUUUGUUCCAAGGCACCUACCAAUGCGACAAGCAAAGCAGAACCAUUUGACAGUAUCAAUUGGUUCAACAAGAUCCAAUAAAUCCAUAAAGAAAGUAUGAAUUAUCAAGUGUUGUUGGAUAAGUUUGAAGAAGAAGACAACAGAAAAAUACUUUAAGUUACUUUUGAUGGGCAAUCAAUCUUUUUUAAUUCAUGCGUUUGUAAUUGAAAGUUUGAGGUUGAUAACUCAACUUUCUUCUUGAUUGACAUAUUUUUACAUUAUUUAAGCAUCCUAGUUUGUAAUAUCAUCAUGGAGUGUAUUACAAACUUUGUGGUGAUCAGAAAAUACUUAGUUCUCUCUAGCUCUUAUUUUCUUCAUGCUUGUUAGGUAGUAGACGUUAGGUACUUCAUUAGGAUUAGUACGGUAAGGCCUACCCCCUUGCUUGCACUUAUCCCUAUUGAUUUUUUUUAUGUUUAAUAAAAGGCCACUAGACACUGUCUAGUGGUAAAUUUGCGGGAAAAAAAAACCUUGAGAUAAUAUGCCUUGCGAAUUUCCUCUUGAGAUGCUAAAAGACUUACAUCAAGAACAUCAUAAUACUCUGUCUCUUUAACCAUUUUCUUUUCUUUUUCCAAAAUCCCAAUUAACAAAAAACUACUCUUUUACCUCUUCCAAUACUCUGAUUACCUUUUUUUGCGCUUGUAAAAUUUUAAAGUAGGAGCGGAAAACCAUUUGACUGUAAGGAAAAGAAACAAGCCGUGUUGAGAAUUGAUUUAAAAUCUUUUGUUUAAGUUUACUGCUUAGGAUAAGUUUUACAGUAGGUUGAAUAAGUCUUUUACUAGAAUUGAAAUAGUCUUUAUUAGUUACUACUUUUCUGGUAGUAUUUAGUCAAGUGGCGUCUAUUAUCUUUCUGAGUUUGUUAGCCUAUAAAAGGCGUAGAGACUUCUAGUUAAUAAUCUCUCUUCUUCCUACAAGCCAAACAAAAAAAAUGAUGAGUGAUCCAAACAAUUUUAAGCUCAAACACAAUGUUAUAAGAAGGUAAGAUAAGAAAUAAUGUCACAAUAUUACAGGUAAAUCGUUUUCUUUUUCCUGUUUUUCAAUUUUUAUCACUAUAAUAUUAUGUAUGCCAAAUCUCUAAGAUGAGGCCUCAUCCAUUGGUAUGGUAUAGAAGUAGCGUUCAAUUUGCUCGACUGCAUUAUCCUCGCCCUGAGUCUCGUUUCCUCUCUUUAUUGGAACUAGGCUCUCCUUGUAAUUGAAAACCCAACAGCCAGCAAUGAAAAGGUCCAGCUGAAAUCCAAGAUCUGUAACUUGCCUUGUUUUAGGGUCAUAUAGCACCAGCUGUGAAGUUUCUGUGAUCUCGAAAACCAUCUUAUCGUUAUCCCAGAUGUUGAGAGGCCAAUGAGCAUCUAUAUGAGGUUGAAUAGUAAGAACUUUGGACCAAUUUCCCUCUUGUUUCAUUACCCACACAUUGUAUAUGGAUGUCAUUGGUUUGCCAGGGUCACCGGUUAACAUAGCAAGUAAGCCGCCAUGCAAUGUAAGUGUCCCCCAAUGUUCACUUGGAAUAUGUGGGACUUGUAUCUCCCCAAACUGUUCGCUGUCCAUGUCAAAAGAGCGAAUCGUGUAGAUAUCAUCAAGGCCCCUACAAAGCCAAUAAUAAACCCUGUUGAGAUAAGUGGCAUCAAGGGGUGCAGACAAGGUAGAACUGGGAGGGAAUUCAGGAGUAAGGUGUUUCCAUGAAUUGUUGCAUGAGGAAUAGACACAGGCAUAGACACGAUUAUUAGCACCUUGUCCCGG